GCAUUGAUGCUAUUUCUUUGGGAACAUUUCCUGUAAGAUUAUUGUUGUCGAGUGAGAGAUCAAACAAGGGCAAGUUACAUAAAUCAUGUGGAAUGUUUCCUGUAAGAUGGUUUGAGAACAGGUGAAGUCGUUGUAAUUUGGUUGCCCCAGCUAGUUCUGGUGGUAUCACACCUGAUAAAUUAUUGUUGGAGAUCAUGAGGCUUGUGAGGCUACGAAACUUUCCCCAGUUAGGUGAAAGUUGACCAUAAAAGUUAUUGUCACUCAAUUCGAUGUAGUCCAAAUUUGGAAGUACACCAAAAGCAUCUGUUAUAUCCCCAGUUAGCUGGUUUCGCUGAAGCCGGACUCUUAUAAGGCUGGAGCAAUUCUUGAAACUCACUGGAAUUGGGCCUGUGAAGUUGUUAUUUUCAGCAGAAAUUUUUUUCAACUUUCCACCAAUGCAAAUGUUUUGAGGUAAAUGGCCUAUAAAAUUAUUGUCAGCUAGCUGCAAACUAUUCAGAGCAGUAAGCAUGCUCAUUUCUAUUGGAAUCUUGCCACCAAGUUCAUUUCCAAUAAAUACUAAUUUCCUGACAUUUGAUAAAUUUCUAAUAGUUGAAGGAAUUGAUCCAGUGAGUUCAUUAAAGGAUAUAGAUAAUACAUUAAGCUUUGACAAAUUUCCAAUGAUGAAAGGAAUAGAUCCAGAGAGUUUAUUUUCAUCAAGGAACAAGGAGUCCAAAUGGACCAAGUUGCCUGUGGAAGCUGGGAUUGGUCCAGUGAGUUCAUUCAAGGAUACAGAUAAUACACUAAGCUUUGACAAAUUUCCAAUGGUGAAAGGAAUGGAUCCAGAGAGUUUAUUUUCAUGAAGGUCCAUGAAGUCCAAAUUGACCAAGUUGCCUAUGGAAGCUGGGAUUGGUCCAGUGAGUUCAUUCAAGAAUAUAUAUAAUUCACUAAGCUUUGACAAAUUUCCAAUGGUGAAAGGAAUGGACCCAGAGAGUUUAUUUUUAAAAAGGUGCAUGGAGUCCAAAUUGACCAAGUUGCCUAUGGAAGCUGGGAUUGGUCUAGUGAGUUCAUUCAAGGAUAUAUAUAAUCCACUAAGCUUUGACAAAUUUCCAAUGGUGAAAGGAAUGGACCCAGAGAGUUUAUUUUCUUCAAGGAACAAGGAGUCCAAAUGGACCAAGUUGCCUAUGGAAGCUGGGAUUGGUCCAAUGAGUUCAUUAAAGGAUAUAGAUAAUACACUAAGCUUUGAUAAAUUUCCAAUGGUGAAAGGAAUGGACCCAGAGAGUUUAUUUAGAUCAAGGAGCAUAAAGUCCAAAUUGACCAAGUUGCCUAUGGAAGCUGGGAUUGGUCCAGUGAGUUCAUUCAAGGAUAUAUAUAAUACACUAAGCUUUGAUAAAUUUCCAAUGGUGAAAGGUAUGGACCCAGAGAGUUUAUUUUCAUGAAGGUGCAUGGAGUCCAAAUUGACCAAGUUGCUUAUGGAAACUGGGAUUGGUCCAGUGAGUUCAUUAAAGGAUAUAGAUAAUACAUUAAGCUUUGACAAAUUUCCAAUGGUGAAAGGAAUGAUACCAGAGAGAUCAUUGUAAGAAAGAUUAAGAAACAAGAGUUUGGAGAGAUUACCAAUGGUAUUGGGAAUGCUACCAAAGAGAUUAUUAGUGGACAAGUCAAGAGUGUUGAGAUUGGAUAAGGAACCAAUUUGAGGAGGAAUAGUUCCAUUCAAGGAAUUGUGACUCAUAUUUAGAGUGAGAAUGUUUGGAAGUAAUGAGAAGUUGAGACUUUGAAGCGUACCUCUUAAUCCAACAUUUGUAAGAUUUAUGUUGGAAACAGAAUUGAACUCAUCACAUGCAAUUCCGAGCCAAAUGCAAGGAUUAUUGCCACUCCAUGAAGAGAGAGAAGCAUGACUUUGGUUGUCAAGGCUGGAUUUCCACUUCAACAAAGCAUUUGCUUCUGAAGCAAUCUCAGAAGAAGCAGCAAAUGCACAGAAGUACAUCACAAGAAGCAGCAAAAGUGGUUGGAGCUUCAUGGACAGAAGCGUUGGAAUUAUGAACACCAUGAGGAAAUUUUGAGGAAGGAUUCAAUCACAGAUUGUCUGAUACAAUCAAAUGCUGGAGAAGUACUUACAAGCAAUUCAUGCGAUAUGCACACUUAUAUGCAAAACAUCGUGAACCACGAACCAGAGUCAAGAGAUAUUAUAUAACUAAUUUAUGGGAUAUUAUCCUUGAGAAACUUUAAAUAAAAUAUUUAUAACUAAUUUUUAUUUCUAAUGAACAUAAUAGGACCUUUUUCAGGGCAACAUAAUAGAACUUUAAAUUAAAUAUAAUUAUUAUUUUCUGGCAUUGUGAUUAUGGGAUCUUAAUAAUAAGCUUUAUAUAUUAUAUGUCUUAAAAAAUAAUUGCUGCUAAAAAAAAUAUAUAAGUUUUAUAAAAAAAUUAAUGUAAUAAAGUUAUGUAUUAUUAAAUAUAUAAUUUAGAAAAAAAAUAUUAAUUUGUUGCAGUCCCUUAUACAUUUUAAUUAUAUUAAAUCAUUUAAAUGUUAUAAUAUUGAAAACUAAUUAGGAUGAAGACCGAAGAGAAGCGACAAAUUCAUAAUAUGGAAAUAAUUAAAGUGAGAAAGACAAUAUCAAACAAGACAGCCGAUCAGUGGGAUCAAUAUAAGUCUGUAUGGGUAAAUUUCAAUACUGUUUCUGUUGGCAAGCAGAAAUUUCCAUAGUGUUAUGCAUGGGUAAAUUUCAAACUUCCACAUAACCAUUUCUGUAACACUAUUUUUUUAACAACUGUUUUAAUUAGAAUAUAAAAGAAAUUUAAUUUAAUUUAUGCUAUAAAUCAUUGAAUUUUAAAAAUAUAAUAAGUUUAAUUAUGUGUUUUAGAUGAGCUUAGUUGUUUCUUUUCUAGAUGAGUAUAAUUAAGAGUUACACUUUUGAUACAAGGGGAGGGGAGUUACUAUAUAUUUCAUGUAAAUUGUUAUCGGUUCCAAGUUAUCAAGAGGUUGAGAGUUUUUUUAUUUAUUUUAGAAUUACUCUCGUUGAAUAAAAUAUACAUGAUGAUUGCAUUAUGCAUUGUUUUCACACCAUUUUAUUGCAACGGAUAUGUUGCACAAUAAUUUUUAUAUGCCUAUUAUGAUUAUGAAGUCCUUGGGAUCCAUCAUCUUUUUGAAUUUUACUAAUAAAAAAAAUACGACUUCACACUAUCAUUAUCUCAACACCAAUCAAGAAAUUCAUAAAAUAUUAUAAAAAUAUAAUAAUAAUAUUUAUUUAUAUUUGAUGAUAUUUUUUAAAUGUUACCAAAAAAAUUUAGUAAUAUUUUACUAAAUGUUAAAUAAAAAAUAUUACUAACUUUCACUGUGUAGUAGUGAAUUAUAUUUUAGAUUAUUAUAAUUAACGGUAUAACUUAUACAAUUAAUUAUUAUGAUUAUAAAUAAAUAUUAUAUGUUUAAAAUAUAUUUUAAUUAUUAUUUUAGCAAAUUAGUAUUCUAAAAGAAUAAUUACAAAUGAUAUACGUAUAUAUAAGUAAAAUCAAAUUAAAUACAAAUAUUAAGGUAGUAUUUAGUUAGUGUUAUUAAUCAUAAUUAUAUAAAUAUUUAAAUAAUCUAGUAUUUUUCUAAUAUUAUAUUUGUUAAAAAUCAUACAUGAUAAAUUUUAAUAACAUUAUUAAAUAUAAUAUGUUGAUUGAAUUUAAUAAAUGUAAUGCUAAUAUAUGGAUAUUAGACAUUCAAAUUUUUGAAUGAUUUUAUUUAUAUAAAAAUUAUUAUUAAAUAAAAUGAAAUCACUAAAAUAUACAUUUUAAAAUCUUAUAAAGAAUAUUUUUUUAGUAAGUUGCGUUAAUCCUAAACGUUUAUAUCUAGGAGAAUGAUUUAUUUAAUAGAAAAAUUCAUAUUUAAUUUGUUUCGUGUGUAAAUUUUUUUAUUUCAAUGACAAACACCAAUAAUAAAUAAAACUAGUCUCGGACAGAAUAGGUAGAGGAAAUCCGUGUUCUUUGAACGGAUAAAAAUAGUAUAUUAAAUUAUAUAUUUUAUCAUAAGGAAUGAGCAGCAAAAGUGCAAUACUUCCGAUCUAUUAAAAGAGAAAAGUAUAAUGGAUAUGUUGGGAUGCAGUUCAAAAAGAUGUUUUAUUAUUUUAUCGACUGGAAAAAUAUCUUUUUUAUUUUUUAAGAGUUUUUAGUUAUUAAUUUUUUUUUUAACUUUUAUAAAGUAAAAGUUGCCAACAGAUUUUUUUUUUUAAGUUUACAUUUUCAGCUUGUGAAAUUUUCUUUGGGAAUGUGUUCCUUAAAUAAUGAUUGGAUAAUUAUGUUCUCAAAAAAUUUUAAAAUAACAAAAAAUAUUUUUCUCAUUUUUUAAACCUUCAAAAUUUUUCUCUCUUAUUCCUCUGAACGUGCCGUGCCUUCCUCAAAAUUUCUGUGUAUAGUGUAAUAUUUACAUAAGAAGAAAGAAUGAAGUAUAAUACCUGCCUUUCUAAAGGGAAAGAUACAAAAAAAAAAAAAAAAAAAGACAACAAAGAAAGACUACGAACGCGGAUAUAAGAAAAGCCAAGCAUGUGCACUGCAUCCAGGACCAGCCCUAAUAAGUAAUAACCCUUAGGGAGGGUUACAUGAUCACAAUUUGAUUUGAUAUACUUCAAGAUUAACGACUCAAAUGAAAAUAUCGAAUUUCCUUCCUAUUUUUUAAAAUAUAUAUCAAUGUAUUUACUAUUCAAUAAAAGAAUUAAAAAUGCUAUUAAAACCCUAAAUUUUAUAGAAAUUAAUGUAAAACAGCAAACACGUUAGAGUAAAAUAUCCUUUUUUACUUCAUUAACCCUCUAUCAUCCCGUUUACUUAAAGUACUAAAAGGAAAGGGUUGAAAUUAAUUUAUUAAAAUGACUCAUACAAAUAAUUUUAAUGUUCUACCAUUGCAUUAGAUUUUACUAAAACCCAAUUUAGUCUUUUUAAUUUUUUGUUAUCAUUAUCAAUUAAGUAUUAAAAUAUUUAUUAAUAGCAAUAUUACUAGAAUAAAUUACACUUUCCUCUCUUAAAAAAUGCGAAUAUCACACUAUCAUCUCCUCUUAUAUUAAAAACUUUACUCUCUUUUCCUAACACAUUUUAAUACAUGACACUUUAUUUCUUUUUAAUUUUGCGUUAAAAUUCUGUUUGUUUCCAUUAAAAUAAACUACAUUACUAAAAUAUUCUUUACACUACCACCGCCUCUAAGGUGCAAAUAUUUCACUGCACUCCCUUCUUGUGUUAAAAUACAUACUUCAUCCCUUAGCUAAUGUGCGCAUAUAUAUAUAUAUAUAUAUAUAUAUAUAUAUAUAUAUAUAUAUAUAUAUAUAUAUAUAUAUAUAGAGGAUAUUUCGUUUUUAAAAUGUUUAAUUAAUUUUUUUUAAACAAUUAUAAAAUUUUAAUGUCUGAAUACACACACUUAGUAAAUCAACGCUCUAAAUUCAUAGAAGUGUAAAUAGAUGCGUAAAAGGUGUUUUUAGGUUAUGCUUUAUUUUUAUUUACGAACAGAAACAGUUUUUUGAGAAGUGAAUUACACAAACAAUUGGGUGGUCCGAAUCUGUUAGUAUUUUUAAUCUCUUUUAUUUUUAAUGCAAUAUUAUAUGUUGUUUAAUGAUUAUGUGAUCAUAAUUGGCCAAACUCCUUAGAACCGGAUUCUGAUGUGGUUAUACUCAUUUACUUUAAUUUCUCUUUUUAAUAAAAUUCUUCUAUUCAAUUAAUUGUAUCUUUUCAUUGCUUUCACUUCUAUAUUGAAAUCACUCUGAUUAUUAGUUCAUUAUGUGCUUAUGGUCAUCUUCUCAUAAUUAAUUGACCUAUAGAAUGAAAUGGUUCAUAAAACUUGUAUGAUCAAACUGGUGACAUGAAUUUCUUUUUUUUACAAACUUCUAUAUUAUUUAUCUUUAACCAUAAAUUAAAUUCAAAAUGACUAAUGCAUGAUUAAUUUUGGGGAGAGAGUAUUCUCAGACUUUAACUAUAGGUUGACAAUUAAAAUAAGAGAUAUUAGACUAUUAAUCAAUAACUUAGAGUUCUUAAUUAAAAUAGGAAUUAAGGAAAAACGGUACAUGUGAAAUCAUAAUAUGAGUCACUCUUUUUCAUACAUAUCUUUUCUUCAAAUUGUUGUUUGUUUUUAAUUUUAUUUUCUUGAAUGCAAUACAAAUCAUCCCCAACUUAAGAUAAAAACUUAAAAUUAUUUAUUUUAUCUGAUUUAGAUUAUUUGAAAAUACAACUACACUUUAGGAUAUGAAUUCCAAACUUUCAGUUUAUGGUACACUUAGCAUUAAUAAAUCCAUAUUUUACGCAUUAGUAAUUAAGUAUGUUUUCAUUAUUCCUUUUCAAUUUUAAUUAUUGUUAUUAAGAUCAGAAUGGACCAUUUGAAUCUAUUUUUCUAAGGGAACUACUAUUGGCCCUUACACAUUGCCUUUGGACCCUACUCCCCCCUUCAAAAUACUCAUAUGUCCAUAUUGGGCAUUAACUACUUUUUUUUAAUUAUUAUUCAAUUUGAUCAUCUGUUUUGUGAUAUUCAUUCAUUAUGAUCUUUUCGUUUGACAUCAUUUGUGUCAAUUUAGACAAAGGAGUAAUAUGAGCAUUUUUGUUUUAGAAAUCAAAUUCAACAUUUUAAAAAUAGAUACAUCAUUAUGAAUAAUAUAAAUAAAAAAGAUCAAAAAAAUAAUUUAAACUAAAAAUAAGGAUAAAAAGAAAAAAAAGAAUUGAAAUGAAUGAAAUGGAUCAUGCGUAAAAUUAAACAUGUGAAUAUUUACUUAAAUUACAUUAAUCAACAUUUAAAAUAUCAUAUAUGUUUCUCAUUUAAAAUAAAUUAUUUCUCUUAAAAUUUAUUUUAGAUCUCACAUGUUAUUGGACCGACUCAUAUCUCUAUAUUUUCUACCACGGCAAAGCUAGCUCCAGCCAUUGCCAAAUGAUUUGAAGUCUCACCUCUUAAAUGAAUAGAAACUUUUCGCCAGAAUUAAACUCCACAUACUUUCUGGAAGUCUUUUGUACAGAGUCAAUUUCCAAAAUGGUGAUGUCUAGUUAAAGGCUAAUAGUAGUAUUAUGUAUGCUGUGGAUCCUGUCAUGUAUGUCACAUUCAUUGACUUUGCAUAAAAAAGAGAGAGAGCAAGUUAAUUAACAUUAUUUUACUGUCUUUCAUUAUAUAUUACAUCUGGAGAAUUUGCUGGUGGAUGCUGAUGGAGAGCUUAAAGUAUCAGAUUCUGCAUUGAGUGUUCUGCCUCAACAAUAAUUUGGAUCUUUCAAAUUAUUCCCGCAAGAGGGCUGGACCUAUUUUUUUUAUGAUGUUUCGAUAAAAAAAGAUUAAUUCUCUUCAUAAAAAAGAGGAGGUAGAACCAAUAAAGAGUGAUUAUUCGAUUCAUCCCUUGAAUUGAAUAACUCAUUCAAGAAAUGUUUUUGACCCAAUCCGGAGGAAUCAAUAGAAAAAGUAAAUCCCUUAUGAUACACUAGAUCUGGCUGGGUUAUUGAUAGAGUGAAUAGAUCUGUCAUUUCUUGAUAGAGUGCAAGGACUGAUCUAUUCUAUGGUCUUGUAGUGUUUUUCUUUUUGUUCUAAUGGCUGGUUAUUUGCAUUUCAAUGACAAUAACAUAAAGAAGAGUGGGGUAUUUUAUGAGUAUUCUAGCUCUCUUAAUAUAUGGAGUGGUCUUUUUUCCUAGCAUGAUUGACUGGAUUGAUCUCACAUUAGUUGAUGCAUUCUUAGUCUUUUAUUAUAGACAGGAAAGUCAUGUGGUUGCUUAAGAGUAACACAAAUAUCAAAUUGAAAUAGAUAAAAUCAUAUGAACUUUAAACAGUAAGGAAUUAAUAAUAUAUGAGCAAAGGUCUAAAAUUCAGUUAUUUAAGACCAGAGCACUUUAGAAGAUAAGACCCCAACAUCGUAGUUCUAAAAAUGCAUUAUUAUGACGUCAUAUGUAAAGGUGAUUCUCACAAAAUGUUUCUCAUGGUAGUGUUGGUUGUAACAUCCUAUUUUUCAUAAACUAAUUUAAAAAGGAUUGUUAUUUGUAAAUAAAUAGAGUUUUAUAAAAAAUGAUAAGGUUUUCAUAAUUAAAUAAAUAAGGAGAAAUAACUUUAUUAAUUAAAAUAAUGGUUUAGAGAAAAUAAAAAGGAUAUUUUAUUUAUUCAUUUGAUAGUGAAUAAAAUAGAGUUUAUUUUUAUAAAAUAAUAUAAAUAAAUAAAUAAAUAAAGUAAAUAAUAGGUUGUGAGUACCCUAGUUAUAAAUAGAGAAAUGUUAGGUCAGUUUUCAGACUGACGAUAUCUUUUCAACUUCCUCUUUCUCUUAAUUUUCCCUUCUCUUUCUCACAAAAUUCUCUCUUUUCCCACAUACCACCAAACCUAUAUCAGAAAAACGACGAUUUCAGAUUUCAGACUCAUUCACUGUUUGAUCGUCGUGAAAUUUAAAAACCAGGUUUGCAACUCAAUUCUGAGCAUUCUCACCGUUGGGAAUUACGAAAACAUAUCGAAGCUGAGAGUAAUACCCUUCGCAUUGUAACUUUUCUUUUCCCGCAGAAACCCAGAGCUAUCUCGGUAAAACUAUGAUCCCGAACUUUUUAACCGUUGGGUUGUUGUCUUAUUUUUAUAUGUGGUUCGCGAUUCAUUUAUGCAUGUUUUCACCGUUGGGAUUUACAAAAUAAUAUCUGUUGAGGGAGAAAGAUGCAUCGCAUGUAGGACCAUAGAAUGGAGGCUUCAAUCCCUUUUCUUUCUCUCCAACAUUUGGGAACCCUAACAGAGAAACCGGAGGAGGAGCUCUAGAGAGCACCAGAAACGCCACAAUUGAUAACGAAGAACGCUUGAGCGACUACAUCGAAGUAAAGGAUGAGUUAUUCACAAAUGGGGAUUAGUGAGAACAUGUAUAGGGAUCCUUAGAGUACCAAUUAGAAUGGGUUUUGGGGUGUUUCUGCAAAUUUUAUUUUAUCCUUAUAGUUAUAACUGUGAAUUAUAUAUGUUUGAUGAACCAAUUGAUGUCCCAAUGAAAAACUAUUGUGAAAUUGAUGUAUUCUUGUGUUGAGUGUGAACCCUAUAAAUUGAACCUUUGUCUAAUUAGCGUGAAUUGAUAAAAUUAAGUAAGUAGAGGUUUAGCGUAAGAGGGAGUGAGAUAUUGAUUUUGUAUUUUCUCUUUUUCAUGCUUUUUAGCGUAAGAGGGAGUGAGAUAUUGAUUUUAUAUUCAUGACCCAAUAUGAUGUAUGUUGUUGGUUUUAUAUAUAUAAAUUUAGCUAUAUAUUUAUUUAUAUUAAUAUUUUAUGUAAAUAAUAUUGUAGUGUUGUUAUAGUGUGAUUCCAAAAAUUAUUCAAGUGUUGGAGUUUGAGAAUAUUAUGGUCAGAUUUGAGGUACAUGUGUAUUGAGAUGUGUGUAUUGAGUUGUGAGUUGUGAAUUAUACAAUAGCCCAACCAGUGUUGAUAUUGAGAAAAGUGUUGAUGCGCAGUGUUAAAGAGAAAGUGUAGGUUUCCUAUUUAGGAAUCAGUGUUGAAUUGUAGCACAAUGUGUUAAACGUGUUUGAAACACGAGUGUGAGGUCGUGGAUAUUGUAUAAUUCAUGAGCAAUGUUUAUAAAUGAAAUAUGUGAUGUAUUGUUGAAUAACAUGUUGCUUUGAGAUUAUAAUAUUGUUACUGAGAUUGAGUAUAAGUACAAAGUUGAACAUGUGUUAAUUUGUGAGAUACGUGUAAACAUGUGAUGGUGGAUUGUGACACUAUGAUCUGUGAAAUUGUGAAUGAGUUUUGGCUGUGAAUAAGUGUGUGGUUAACACUUAAUGUGACAUUACUUGUGUUGUAAGUUGUGAAUUGUACAAUAAUCCGACUAGUGUUAUCUUGAGAAAAGUGUUGAUGCACAGUGUUAAAGAGAAAGUGUAAGUUUCUUAUUUAGGAACUAGUGUUAAAGAGAAAGUGUAGGUUUUCUAUUUAGGAACCAGUGUUAAAUUGUAGAGCAAUUGUGUUAAACGUGUUUAAAACAUGAAGGUGAGGUCGUGGGUAUUGUAUAAUUCAUGAGCAGUGUCUGCAUGCAAAAAAUUAUUUUAGGGGUUAGACCUGAAUCGGGAGAGAGAGGCCCUGACGGACUCUUCGGAGUGUAGACCUUGGGAGUCACCCAGUUUGAGUGCUCCUUUAAGCCUGUGCCGAUUCCGCAUGGUUGGAGCAUUUUCGUAAAACAGCGUGACCCUGACUGGUCUCCCUAUGAUUUUACUUAGUGAGAGUGACCUGACAUACCCAUUGUGUGGUGUGUCUUGGUAUGUACUCCUAAGCGCCCUAGGGUGGUUUUUCACUGAUAUGGUAUCAGAUUGCAUAUAGGCUUGAGUCUUAGCAUAACUAUUGCAUACGCUUGCUAAUUAUUUAUUAUGAAAUUGAUGUGUUAUUAUGUCUUGAUCGGAGUGUGUGAUUCUUGUGUAAUGUGAUUGAUGAUUGAAAAGUGUAAUUGAUGAUUGAAAAGUGAAUUUUGAAUGACAAAGUGAUUGAAUUACAUGAGUUAUGUUUAAGUAAGUUUUAUUUUAUUUAUAUGAUAUGUAUAUCUAGUUAUCUUGCUUCUCUAUUAGUUAGGAAUGUGAUAACUCACUCUCCUUGUGUUGUUUGUGUUUGGAUCCUGUGAUGAUCUUGAACUUUGUAUUCGAGGGAACAGAUGACUAGAUGAAUUGCUUUAAGGAACCUUGUACUGAAGGACGUCAGGACACAAUGCUUUGAUAGGAUGUGACAUUGGAGCAUAAUAGUCUAUUUUAUUUUACCUCACUGAUUUAACAAAAUAUUUUUUUAUAAAUUUUGACGGCCUUGUUUUGAGUUGAAUAUAUUUUUAAUAAGUUUUAUUUGGUAAUAGUGAAGUAAAUGUGAACCUUUUACCCAUGUGAAUUUGUUUACCAAUAUUUUAUAUGUUUUAUUUAUUUAUAUAAAUGUCGGGGUAGAGGGUGUCACAUUGGUCAGCAUAACACAUUUUUCUUCUAGAACACAUGAUAUCUACGCAAUUCUAAAAGUAUGAAACAAUUUUAAAUAGACUUUUGAAGAACCUUAUUGUAGAUGUAAUUGCCUUUGAUGUUUUGAUGAUGAUCAUGAUGAUGUGUUGCAAUUGAUGCAAAUGGGCUUUUCAAGAUUAAAUUCAAGACAAUACUUCAAGAUUACAAGUCACAACAUCAACAUGAUCACUAGAAUAUUAGGAAGGGAAUUCCUAAUUGAAUUAGCAAAGGUUUGGCCAAGUGAUUUAAAUUAAAAAAGUGUUUCUCAAAGGUUUUACUCUCUGGUAAUCGAUUACCAGAGGAUGUAAUCGAUUACCAGUGGCCAAAUACGUUUUAUAACAGCUACAAAAAUUUGAAUUCGAAAUUUUAGACUGUGUAAUCGAUUACACAAUUUUGGUAAUCGAUUACCAGCAGUUAGUAAACGUUUUAAUUCAAAUUUUAAAAGCUGUAAUCGAUUACACAAUCACUGUAAUCGAUUACCAGACAGGAUUUUCAGAAAAAUAAUUUCAAGAGUCACAACUUUUCAAAGGCUUUAUUCAUGACCACCAAUGGUCUAUAUAUAUGUGACUUAAACACGAAAUUGCUCAGAGAUUUUCAUAACAACAAGUGUUUAUCCUCUCAAAGAGAAAAUUCAUUUUAUCCUCUUAAGAAUUCCUUGGCCAAUUCAAUUGCAAUUCAUUAAGGAAUUAUUUGAGUGCUCAAUCUGUAAAAUCCAUCUCUUUCUAGAGAGAUUUGUUCUUCUUCUUCUUCUCAUUCUCUAAGGGAUUAAGAGACUGUGAGUCUCUUGUUGUAAAGGAAUUCUAAACACAAAGGAAGGAUUGUCCUUGUGUGUUUAGAACUUGUAAAAGGAAUUUACAAGAUAGUGGAACUCUCAAGCGGGUUGCUUGGGGACUGGACGUAGGCACAAGGGUGUGGCCGAACCAAUAUAAAACUGAGUUUGCAUUUUCUCUUCCCUUAAUCUCCUUUAUUUAUUAUUGCUUUAUAUUCAUAUUCAAAUUGUUUCAUUUGAAUUAAUAUUUAAGAAGAUUGUCAUUAAGGGAAUUCAUAACUUGAGUAAAAAGUGAAAUAGAUUUUUAAUUAGGGGAAAUAGUUUGGAAUAUCUUAAUUCAACCCCCCCUUCUUAAGAUAUCUGAGGCCACUUGUCUAACACUUAUAGUUAAAUACACUUUAACCAAUUUUAAAGAAUAAAAGUAUGAAACAAUAUAUAAACUCAAGAAUGUCAUUCUGUUAGCCUAUUUUAAUUCCAAAUUAUAAUAUUAAUUCCAAACUAUAUAUAAAAAACCCUAAAAAGCAAGAAAAGGGAAAAAAAUACAAAAUCAGAAUUUCAGUCCCUCUUACAGUAAAUAUUUCCUUAUUUAAUUUCAUUAAUUCACACUAAUUAGAAAAAUACUCAGUUUCUAGUAGGGGUGGGAAUAGGCCAGGUCUGAGCCUAGCCUACGAUUAAUUUUUGAGGCCUGAGCCUGGUCUAUAGCCUAUCAAAAGCUUUUAUUUUAGCUCGGUCUGACCUUUUUAAAAGCCUAGCCUGGCCUGGUAGCCUAUUUAAAAGCUUAUUUAAAAAUCUUCUUCACAUUAAAUCUUUAAUAUUUCUAGUUGUUUUUACCAAAAAAAAUAAAUAACACACCUUCUAUAAUAGGCUAAACAAGGCCUUAAUAUAUAAUUUGCCUUAAUUUUUAAUCUAACGUUAAUUUAGUUGGUAGUCCUAAAAAUAUAUUAAUAAUAUAAACAAAAAUCACCAAAUGAUAUAAAUAAUCUAAAACAAAAGAAAACCUCAUACUUAGGUAGUAUCAUCCAAGUCUAUCAAACCAACAUAUUAAUUAUUACAACCAAAAAAUAAAGCCUACAUCUCCAUUCUAUUUGAACAGAACCGGUGCAUAAAAUAUCUACCAAUAAAAUUAAUAGUAACGUCAUUUCAUCAUUAGCUCCUCCAUAUUCACCAUAAGAUAGGAUAUGAUUUUUGUAUAGGAACGUAAUAGGAUAUGAUAGGAUAUGAUUUUUGUAUAGGAACGUAGGAUAUGAUAGGAUAUGAUUUUUAUUUGCUCUAGAAUACAGUAACGUAAUAAAAGAAGAAGGAAAUCUAAUAGGAAUACAAAAAGGAAUUGUUAACAGAAAUAGGAAAACUAAUAAAAAUAAUGAGAAAUAUAAAGAAACUUACACCUUGUAAUUAAAAUUUUACUUAAUUAUAGGAAUGGAAUCUGCUAGUUUUUUUAAAAAAAUAAUAUUAAUUGUACCCAAAAAAUAAUAUAUAUAUAUAUAUAUAUAUAUAUAUAUAUAUAUAUAUAUAUAUAUAUAUAUAGGCCGGCCUAUCAGGCUUAUAAGGCUUUUUAAUAAGUCUAAGUCUGGCCUAUUUAAUUUAAUAGGCUUUUAAAAAAGCCUGAGCCUAGCUUUUUAAUUAAAUAGGCCAGGUCAGGUCAGGCUUUAUGUAGGCCAGGUCGUAGGCUCCUGUAGGCCGGCCUAGCCUAUUCUCACCCCUAGUUUCUAGGAUUCAAACUCAACACAAGAACACAUCAAUUUCAUAGCAAUUUCACAUCGGAACACCAAUUAGUCUGUCAAACAUAUAUAAUUCACAGUUAUAGUUGUAAACAUAGAAUCAAAAUUUCAUAAAAACCCCAAAAUUCAUCUCAAUUGAUCUUCUAAGGAUACUUAUACAUGUUCUCACUACUCCCAAUGGUUAACAAGUCACGGAUGAUAGUUUUACUAGAAAAGGGAAUGAUCUAGAAGGAAGAGAAAGUGUAGAAAUAUCUUAAUAUAAGUACUGACCUAAUAUGUUUCUAUUUAUAACUAAGAUGUUCUGAUUAUAUUAUUUACUCUAUUUUUCUUUAUUUUAUUGUUUUAUAAAAAUGAACUAUAUUUUCUUAUUAUGAAAUGAAUAAAUAUAAUAUUCUUUUUAUUUUCUAAAAACACAUUUAUUUUAUUUACCUUCAAAUCAUUAUUUUAAUUAAUAAAAAUAUUUCUCUUUAUUUAUUAAAUUAAAAAUUUCAAUAUUUUUCUAAAAAUUUAUUUAUUUUUAAAUAAAAUACUUUUUAAUUUAUUUAAAAAAAUGGAAUGUUAAUGUGACUUUUGAGUAGUUAGUACAAGGCUCUACCCAACUAAGCUAAUAGACCAAUUAUGUUAUAAAAUAAUUAAUAUCGUUAUAUAUAACACUAAAAUUUCUAAUGUAUAUUAAAUGCACAUAUAAAUUUAAAUAAUAAAUUUAGUGACAAUUAAUUUUGAUCUAAUAAUUAAUUUUUUUACAUAUAUGAAUUGUAAAUGAAACCUAUAUUUUUAUUUAAAAUUUAUAUAUAUAUACACUAUUAGAUCAAAAUACAUUAGUAGAUUUAUGUUAAUAAUGUAUUUUUUACAUAUAUAAUUUUUUUUAUUAAACCUACGAUUUUUAUUUACAAUUUAUAUAUGUAAACAAAUUAAUUAUUAGAUCAAAAUUAAUUGUCAAAAAUUUCUUAUGUAAAUUUAUAUAUGCAUUAAAUAUACAUGAAAAUUUUUAGUGUUAUCUAUAGCGAAAAUAAUUAUUUUAACAUAAUUGAUUUAUUAGUUCAAUUGGUUAGAGUGUCGUACUAACAAUAUCCGUAAACCAAUUACGGAAAAGCAAUAUGGGAAUUACAAUGUUGUGUUGGAUAUACUAGAAAAACAAAUGGUGCACGUAGCAAUUCCCAAACCAAUAAUGUUUUGUGUUGGACUUUUAUGGACUUUCGUAUAUUUUGGGUUUUUUAAUUGUAAUCCAUAACCCAAAUAUAUCAACACACUUUCGUAGGAACUAGGGUUAUCAGAAAUUAAAUGUAGAAGCGGUUUUCUUUAAGCUUUCCUUUAUCGUCCCCUUGCAAUUUAUCUUUCUUAGUCUAGUUAGCAGCAGAGUCUAUCAAUCUAAAUGUGGAAUGCUAUUCAGUUAUCUAAGACUAGACCACUCUAGAGGAUAAGACCCCAACAUCGUAGUUCUAAAAAUACAUUAUUAUGGGUCAUAUGUAAAGGUGAUUCUCACAAAAUGUUUCUCAUGCUGGUGUUGGGAGCAUAACACAUUUUUCUUCUAGAACACAUGAUAUCUAGGCAAUUCUAUCAUGAGCAUAAUGCUUUACGUAAAACAUCCAAUCAAAAACUCAAGAUAAAAUUUAAAUAAUUUCAGUUCAAGCUUCCUUAUAAGUAGUUCAUGCAUUUUCCUUUACUUUGCUGACUUGUCGUUAAUUUUAAAUUAAUUGAAGGAAAGGGAACAAUUGAUUUGAAUUAUUAUAUUUUCUGAAGUAAAAAAUAACACUAUAUUUGUUUCCUUUAUUUUAAUAGGAAAAAAAUAAAGCUUACAAAUGUUAUCAUUGAUUUGGUUAAGGUAUCUAAAGUUCAGAAACCAAAAAACUAAAAUAAAAUGAUCUACAAUAUAAAAAAAAAAGAUACAAUACAAAAAUAGAAAAGAACAAUUAAAACUCAAGCAUGUUUAUUAAGUUCAAUCUUUCAGCUAUAUAUAAGUGACAAUGUAGAGCUAAUCCAUUGAAGAUGAGCUUGACAUUACCAGCUCAUUGGCAACCUGCUCCAUGGUAGGGCGAGAUCGUGGACUUUCAGUCAAGCAGGCCAUUGCUAUCUUUGCAAUUGAUGCCACUUCCUUACCAAUUGGCUUUGUUGGAUGAGGGAGACGUUGGUCCAACUUAUCCAUCAAUGCCAUGAGAUCGAGUGUUGAGGCCACAAGAGUAGAUGGAGAUGAUCCCAAUAAAGAAGAUAUAACAUCACCAGGGUGCUUCCCAAUAAGUAUUUCCCAUGCUAGGACCCCAAAACUAUACACGUCACAUUUCUCAUUCACCUCCAUUGUGUAUGCAAGUUCUGUAACAAAAUAAAAGUGCUAUCAUACGCAAAAUAGGAUUCUAGUGACAAAGGCAAAAUGUGGACAAUUGUGACUAAGAAAGGCAAACUAAAAAAUAUGAUAUCCUCAAUUUAGUAUAAAGAAAGGUAAUUAACCUGGAGCAGCAUAUCCAAAGGUUCCUACGAAUGAGGUCCAAUUGGAUGAAUCUGGAUUAAGAAACUUGGCUGUUCCAAAAUCUGAGACAUGAGCUACAUAUUCGGAAUCCAAAAGAACAUUCUUGCUUGAUAUAUCACGAUGAACAAUUCGAGGUGAGCAUUCAUGGUGCAUAUAGCACAGAGCAUGUGCUACAUGCUUUAACUACAUUAACCCUCUUAUACCAAUCAAAUGCCAUUGCUUGUCCAUCAUCCUUCAGGGUCUUCCCAACACUGCCAUUCUCCAGGAAUUCACACACCAAAAAUGAGAAUUGUGAAUGUGAACAAAACCCAUAUAACUUUACAAUGUUACGAUGUCGAAUUUCUGUCAAAGCUUGGAUCUCACAUGUGAAAGCUUUCAGAUUGAGCAUCUCUCCAUUUGGAACUGAAUGGAGUUUCUUCACAGCAACAACUUGACCUGUAGGCAGCACUGCUUUGUAAACACAUCCUUGCCCUCCAACACCAAUGAGAUGUUUGUCGUCAAAAUCUUCUGUGGCUUCAAUAAUAUUCUCAAAUACCAUUUUGCCAUCAAAACUCCAUAUUGCAAAUAUGUUAGGAGUUUGUAUACUUGUAGCCUGGUCUUCUUUGUUCGUUGAGGUUUGGCAUAAAUGAUACGAGACUCCGAAAGCAAAUAAUGCCAGUAUUAGAAUGCCCAAAGUAAGGGGUAAAAUUACUAUCAUUACUUUCUUCCUCAUAUGAUUAUGAGAUUUCCCACUUGAUGUUGAGCAAGGCUCCAAGCCAGUGACAUUGCCACACAAGCCUUUAUUAUUUCUCAAUGCUUCAAUUUUAGCAUUGUGGAAGGCUAGAAUGUUUGGAAGUGGACCCUCAAACUGGUUGUAUGAUAUAUCAAUAGAUGUCAAGCUCGUCAUAUCAUCGAAGCUAGAGAGAUUACCUGAAAGAUUAUUGUGAGAGAGAUUCAGUGUUUCUAAGCUUUUUAAUUCUCCAAACAUUGAAGGUAUUGUUCCUCUCAAUGAAUUUCCACCAAGAUCAAGACUCGUAAGAGAUUUCAGUUUGCCAAGCUCUGAAGGAAUAUUUCCCUGAAAAUUAUUUUGGCUCAGACUCAUGUUCAAUAAAUUGAGCAAAUUUCCUAGUUGUUUUGGGAUUAAGCCAGACAACUUAUUUGAUCCAAGCUUCAAAAUUUGAAGUUUCUGCAUUGAUGCUAUUUCUUUGGGAACAUUUCCUGUAAGAUUAUUGUUGUCGAGUGAGAGAUCAAACAAGGGCAAGUUACAUAAAUCAUGUGGAAUGUUUCCUGUAAGAUGGUUUGAGAACAGGUGAAGUCGUUGUAAUUUGGUUGCCCCAGCUAGUUCUGGUGGUAUCACACCUGAUAAAUUAUUGUUGGAGAUCAUGAGGCUUGUGAGGCUACGAAACUUUCCCCAGUUAGGUGAUAGUUGACCAUAAAAGUUAUUGUCACUCAAUUCGAUGUAGUCCAAAUUUGGAAGUACACCAAAAGCAUCUGUUAUAUCCCCAGUUAGCUGGUUUCGCUGAAGCCUGACUCUUAUAAGACUGGAGCAAUUCUUCAAACUCACUGGAAUUGGGCCUAUGAAGUUGUUAUUAGCAGCGGUAAAAUUUUUCAACGUUCCACCAAUGCAAAUGUUUUGAGGUAAAUGGCCUAUAAAAUUAUUGUAAGCUAGCUGCAAACUUUCCAGAGCAGUAAGCAUGCUCAUUUCUAUUGGAAUCUUGCCACCAAGUUCAUUUCCAAAAAAAUAUAAUUCCCUGACAUUUGAUAAAUUUCCAAUAGUUGAAGGAAUUGAUCCAGUGAGUUCAUUUAAGGAUAUAGAUAAUACACUAAGCUUUGACAAAUUUCCAAUGGUGAAAGGAAUGGACCCAGAGAGUUUAUUUUCAUCAAGGACCAAGAAGUCCAAAUGGACCAAGUUGCCUAUGGAAGCUGGGAUUGGUCCAGUGAAUUCAUUCAAGGAUAAAGAUAAUACACUAAGCUUUGACAAAUUUCCAAUGGUGAAAGGAAUUGACCCAGAGAGUUUAUUUUCAUGAAGGAGCAUGGAGUCCAAAUUGACCAAGUUGCCUAUGGAAGCUGGGAUUGGUCCAGUGAGUUCAUUAGAGUGUAUAGAUAAUUCACUAAGCUUUGACAAAUUUUCAAUGGUGAAAGGUAUGGACCCAGAGAGUUUAUUUUUAUGAAGGUGCAUGGUGUCCAAAUUGACCAAGUUGCCUAUGGAAGCUGGGAUUGGUCCAGUGAGUUCAUUCAAGGGUAUAGAUAAUACACUAAGUUUUGACAAAUUUCCAAUGGUGAAAGGAAUGGACCCAGAGAGUUUAUUUUCAUCAAGGAACAAGAAGUCCAAAUGGACCAAGUUGCCUAUGGAAGCUGGGAUUGGUCCAGUGAAUUCAUUCAAGGAUAAAGAUAAUACACUAAGCUUUGACAAAUUUCCAAUGGUGAAAGGAAUGGACCCAGAGAAUUUAUUUCCAUCAAGGAGCAUGUAGUCCAAAUUGACCAAGUUGCCUAUGGAAGCUGGGAUUGGUCCAGUAAGUUCAUUCAAGGAUAUAUAUAAAUCACUAAGCUUUGACAAAUUUCCAAUGGUGAAAGGUAUGGACCCAGAGAGUUUAUUUUUAUGAAGGUGCAUGGAGUCCAAAUUGACCAAGUUGCCUAUGGAAGCUGGGAUUGGUCCAGUGAGUUCAUUAAAGGAUAUAGAUAAUACACUAAGCUUUGACAAAUUUCCAAUGGUGAAAGGAAUGAUACCAGAGAGAUCAUUAUCAGAAAGAUUAAGAAACAAGAGUUUGGAGAGAUUACCAAUGGUAUUGGGAAUGCUACCAAAGAGGUUAUUAGUGGACAAGUCAAGAGUGUUGAGAUUGGAUAAGGAACCAAUUUGAGGAGGAAUAGUUCCAUUCAAGGAGUUGAGACUCAUAUUUAGAGUGAGAAUGUUUGGAAGUAAUGAGAAGUUGAGAUUUUGAAGCGUACCUCUUAAUCCAACAUUUGUAAGAUUUAUGUUGGAAACAGAAUUGAACUCAUCACAUGCAAUUCCGAGCCAAAUGCAAGGAUUAUUGCCACUCCAUGAAGAGAGAGAAGCAUGACUUUGGUUGUCAAGGCUGGAUUUCCACUUCAACAAAGCAUUUGCUUCUGAAGCAAUCUCAGAAGAAGCAGCAAAUGCACAGAAGUACAUCACAAGAAGCAGCAAAAGUGGUUGGAGCUUCAUGGACAGAAGCGUUGGAAUUAUGAACACCAUGAGGAAAUUUUGAGGAAGGAUUCAAUCACAGAUUGUCUGAUACAAUCAAAUGCUGGAGAAGUACUUACAAGCAAUUCAUGCGAUAUGCACACUUAUAUGCAAAACAUCGUGAACCACGAACCAGAGUCAAGAGAUAUUAUAUAACUAAUUUAUGGGAUAUUAACCUUGAGAAACUUUAAAUAAAAUAUUUAUAACUAAUUUUUAUUUCUAAUGAACAUAAUAGGACCUUUUUCAGGGCAACAUAAUAGAACUUUAAAUUAAAUAUAAUUAUUAUUUUCUGGCAUUGUGAUUAUGGGAUCUUAAUAAUAAGCUUUAUAUAUUAUGUCUUAAAAAAUGCUGCUAAAAAAUAUAUAUAAGUUUUGUAAAAAAAAAUUACUGUAAUAAAGUUGUAUUAUUAAAUAUAUAAUUUAGAAAAAAAAAUAUUAAUUUGUUGCAGUCACUUAUACAUUUUAAUUAUAUUAAAUCAUUUAAAUGUUAUAAUAUUGAAAACUAAUUAGGAUGAAGACUGAAGAGAAGCGAUAAAUUCAUAAUAUGGAAGUAAUUAACGUGAGAAAGAAAAUAUCAAACAAGACAGCCCAUCAGUGGGGUCAAUAGAAGUCUAGCUUGGUAUGUUGUACGCGUUUACUUUACAAAACUACAAAAUUGUUACUGUUAGCAAGCAGAAAUUUCCGUACUGUAAUAAUGCAUGGGCAAAUUUCAAACUUCCACAUAACCAUUUAUGUAACACUGUAUUUUUUUUUUAGGUAAAAUUAUAAAUUUGGUCUCUUACUUUAUUUCUAGUUUUUAGAUUUGAUCUCUGAGUUUUUAAAUUUAUGAAUUUGGUCUUUUUAUGUUGUAAAAUCGUGUAAUGUUGGUAUCAAGUUACAAUUAGACGUUGACGGUUACAAAGAAAUAUUGACUAUCACGUGUCAUGUUGUUCUUAUUGGAUGAUGACUAUCACAUGUCAUGAUUUGAAACUAUCAAAAGAAAAGAAUAAAGGUUUUUCAAUUUUAUCCAAAAAAAGGAGGGAAUGCACCCUUUUUUGAAAAAAUUUCCAAGUAACUGUUUUACGCCUUUGAGCACGUAUAGAUCCUUUGAUUAUGUCUCGCCAAAAAUCCAAUUGUUGGGAAUAACGUAUUAAAGCCAAUUCAUUUUUUUUUUCAGCGUUAUCAGUAUCUCUUGUAGGAUUAUAAGUAUCGUACUUCUUACAAAAAUUAGAUUUAUUAGUCAAAAUGACUACACGUUUGGCUUUUCUAGAACGAAUUUGAUAAUUUUCUGCUUCAUUUUUUCCCUCCCGUUGUUCCAAUUCGUCAAUAAAUUUGUAUGACCAUCGAGGAACUUUUUUACGGAUUUUGUUUAUUCUAAUACACUUUGUUCUAUUUCCAUUUACUAUUGUUUUUUCAUUCAAAUCAGUUCUAAUUGCAUCAAAUAACUUUGGCGACUUACCCAUUCAAUGACUUUGGCACCGGACGUUCCCAAACUGGAAUGUGUAUUAUCGAUAUAGGGGAUCUUUCAAUUGAGAAGAUCCAUCGACCUUAGACGAAGAGAAAGAAAGGUCUAUCUAUUUUUUUGUUUUAGUUAUUCAGUUAAACCAAUGAUUCGUUAUUGGAGCAGAUAGCAACAACCAUCUCAUCUGGGAAAAGCCAUCUUUUUCUCAACAAUGUCUUUGUCAUUUGAUCCAAUAGCGCUUCGUUAGAUAGGAACAAAUUUGAUAAAUAUUGAUAACUCUCAGAUAGAGUAUUAGAACGGAAAAAUCCAUUAGAUAAUGAACUAUUGAUUCUAAGCCAUCUUUGACAAUGAAUCAACAAUUCAAAAUGAUUUUCUUGCGUAUUCUUGAUAAACCAGUGUUUAUAUAUAGAUGUAGGAAGAUCUGUUUGGGAAGUAGUAAGAAGUUCCCUUGACAUCUCUUCAUCUGUGAAGAAUUGUCGAUGUGAAAACACAGAGACAAAAGGGUGAUCUUUGAAUAGGAAAAAGAGUGGAUCCGCGGGGUCCCAAAUGAAUUGGCUUAUUCGAAAAAAGCCUUGUUCUUUGGAAGAUCUAUCUCGUGUCUGGUACUGCAUGGUUCCACCCUGCAAGAACUCUGAAUCAUUCUCUUGAAGCUCAUCCUCUUCAUCAUAAAUGAUCCGCUUGUCCCGAAAUGACCUGGCCCAAUAGGGAAAUCCCAAUUCAUUGGGCCUUUCAAUACAAUAAAAUAGAAAGCCCCAAGGGCUCCAUAUUCUAAGAGCCCAAACGAUGUGAUUGAAAAAAUCCUCCUCUAUCUGUUGUGGGUCGAGGACUCCCCCCCCCCCUUCUUCAAACUCCGAUUCAUAUUUUUCAUAGAGAAAUCUUUGAUCAACGAUAGAAUAAGAUCCAUUUUGAAUCAUAUUUAAGAGAUUCCUUGGUUCGGACCGAAGAAGCAAUGUCACUCGAUCCUUAUCAAACUGACUGCAAUCUUUUUCUAUAUGUGAGGAUCCCACCAGAGCGCCUUCUACUUCUAAUAGGCCAUGAACUAGAUCAGAAUUAUUCUCAACGAGUCCAUAAGAUGUGAUCCCAUUUUUUUCAUCAGGUCCGGGUAGAGACCAAAGGUCUUGAGCGACCGAUCCGGCAGAACAACUCAAAGGGUAAAGAAGUAUCGUAAAUUUCUUCAUACUCGUUCCAAGUUCGAAGUACCAUUUGUACAAAUAAGAAUCCCCCCCCCCCCCCGUCACAUGAUUUCUUCUUCAUAUUGGUCAAUGAAAAUAACAAUAUAUUUCAUAUUUCAUAGAGUUUACAUCUAAUCAGAACGUAACACGUGACAGUCAUCAUCCAAUAGUAACGUGACAUGUGACAAUCAACGUCACUGGCUCACGGUCAACAUUCAAUUGUGGCAUGAGGGACCAACAUUGCACGAUUUUACUAAAUAAGAGAGUCAAAUUCAUGAAUUAAAAAAUUGGGAGACCAAAUCCGAAUAGGAAAUAAAAUGGGAGACCAAUUUUAUAAUUUUGCCUUUUUUUAACAACUUUUUUAAUUAAAAUAUAAAAGAAAUUUAAUUUAUGCUAUAAAUCAUUGAGUUUUAAAAAUAUAAUAAGUUUAAUUAUGUGUUUUAAGUGUAAUUAAGAGUUGCACUUUUGAUACAAGUGGACGGGAGUUACUAUAGACCUCAUGUAAAUUGUUAUAGAUUCCUAACUAUCAAAGUGGUUAAGAAUUUUUUAUUUAUUUUAGAAUUACUCUCAUUGAAUAAAAUAUACAUGAUAAUUCCAUUAUAUAUUAUUUUUCACAUCCUUUUGUUGCAAGAGAAGCGUGAUUCUAUUAUUAUAUUUUUUGGCACCUCCAUUAAUAUAGUCAUUCCUCUUAAUUUAUGUUUUUUCUUUUACAUUGACAAGGUUCUAACUUUAGAACUAUUAUUGGUUAAACAAAAUAAUACCCAAGCCAAUUAAUUCAAGCACUUGACGCUAGUAAUCAUUAAUUUUACUAAUAAUUUUUUUUCAAAAAAAAUUAUUAGUCACAUAAGAUGCUCUUACAAAAAAUAAUACAGUAGUGACAUUUUACUAAAGAUUUUAGUUUAUAUAUUCAUAAAAAUAUAAUAAUAAUAUUUAUUUAUAUUUGUUGAUAUUUUUUAAAUGUUACUAAAAGUUUUUAGUAAUAUUUUACUAAAUGUUAAAUAGAAAAUAUUACUAAUUGUCACUGUGUAGUAGUGAAUUAUAUUUUAGAUUAUUAAAAUUAACAGUAUAACUUAUAAAAUUAAUUAUUAUGAUUAUAAAUAAAGUAUUACAUAUUUAAAAUAUAUUUUGAUUAUUAUUUUAGCAAAUUAGUAUUCUAAAAUAAUAAUUACAAAUGAUAUACGUAUAUAUAAGUAAAAUCAAAUUAAACACAAAUAUUAAUGUAGUAUUUAGUUAGUGUUAUUAAUCAUAUUUAUAUAAAUAUUUAAAUAAUCUAGCAUUUUUCUUAUAUAAUAUUCAUUAUUAUAUUUGUUAAAAUCAUACAUGAUAAAUUUUAAUAAUAUUAUUAAAUAUAAUAUGUUGAUUGAAUUUAAUAAAUAUAAUGUUAAUAUAUGGAUAAUAGGCAUUCAAAUUUUUAAAUGAAUUUAUUUAUAUAAAAGUUAUUAUUAAAUAAAAUGAAAUUACUAAAAUAUACAUUUUAAAGAAUAUUUGUUUAGUAAGAUGUGUUAAUCCUAAAUGUUUAUAUGNNNNNNNNNNNNNNNNNNNNNNNNNNNNNNNNNNNNNNNNNNNNNNNNNNNNNNNNNNNNNNNNNNNNNNNNNNNNNNNNNNNNNNNNNNNNNNNNNNNNUACUAAAAUAUACAUUUAAAGAAUAUUGUUUAGUAAGAUGUGUUAAUCCUAAAUGUUUAUAUGUAGGAAAACGAUUUAUUUAGUAGAGAAACUCAUAUUUAAUUUUUUUAUGUGUAAAAUUUUUUAUUUCAAUGAUAGAUAUGGAUAAUGAAUAAAAUUAAUCUUUGGAUUAGUAGUUGGAAGAAAUCCAUAUUCUUUGAACCGAUAAAAAAAAAAGUAUAUUAAAUUAUAUAUUUUAUCAUAAGGGAUGAGGAGCAAAAGUGAGUUUUUUUUCUUAAAUACACCUUUUCUUUUUUGUUUUUUUUUUAAUCUAUACUACUUUAUAAUUUAAUUUCCAAUAUACAUUACUUACUUGAUACUUUCUCUCUCCUUUUUGUUUUUUAAUUUAAAAUAUUAUAAAAUAUAAAUAUUAUAUUAUAUAAUUUUUUAAUUGGUUUUAAAAUUACUUAUUUAUUAAAUUAAAUUAUAUAUAUAUAUAUAUUUUAAUUUUUUUAAAGAAAAUGAUAUUAUUAAAUAUAAUUAUUUUUGUUUUAUUAUUUAAUUUACUUAACAUAUUUUUUAGGUGAAUAUUUUUAUUUAAAAUCUGAAUUUUAUAAUAUAAGUAUUUUUAAUAUAAUUAUAUUAUUAAAUAUAAUUAGUUUGUUUAUGUCAUUAGAUUUAAUUAAAAAAUGAGAAGACUUUUUGUUUAACCGUUUAUUCAUAGAAGACCAUUAUAUUGUAUUAUCAUACUUAAACAAUUACAUUUGGUUAAGGAAAAAUUAAAGAUAGAGAUAUGUUAGGACAAUUGUUUCUGUUAUAAGCAUAUUGUUGUUGUAAAAUUCAUAUUUUUUUUCUACUUUCUCGUUCGUUCAAAGUUAAAAUGGGACUAUCCUCUAUCGUCCUCUUUCUUUUAUUUUUCAUAUUUUAAUCUUUUGAAGUCAUAGAUAAUAAAAAUAUUUAUUUUUCAUAUUUAUUUAAUAGUUAUCUUUGACUUAAAUGAUAAGAAAAAUAAAAGAAAGAGGACGGCAAAGGAUAGUCCCGUUUUAAAAUGAAUUUAUUUAUAUAAAAAUUAUUAUUAAAUAAAAUGCAAUUACUAAAAUAUACAUUUUAAAGAAUAUUUGUUUAAUAAGAUGUGUUAAUCUUAAAUGUUUAUAUGUAGGAGAAUGAUUUAUUUAAUAAAAAUUCAUAUUUGAUUUUUUUAUGUGUAAAUUUUUUUGUUUCAAUGACAGACAUGGAUAAUGAAUAAAAUUAAUCUUUGGAUUAGCAGUUAGAAGAAAUCCAUAUUCUUUGAACCGAUAAAAAAAUAUGUAUUAAAUUAUAAAUUUUAUCAUAAGGGAUGAGGAGUAAAAGUGAGUUUUUUUUUUUUUGUAAAUACACCUUUUUCCUCUUUUUUUUUUCAAUCUACACUACUUUAUAAUUUAAUUCCUAAUAUAUAUUACUUACUUCAUACUUUCUCUCUCCUUUUUUUUUAUUUAAAAUAUUAUAAAAUUUAAAUAUUAUAUUAUAUAAUUUUUUAAUUGGUUUUAAAAUUACUUAUUUAUUAAAUUAAAUUAAAUAUAUAUUUUUAAUUUUUUUAAAAGAAAAUGAUAUUAUUAAAUAUAAUUAUUUUUGUUUUAUAAUUUAAUUUACUUAACAUAUUUUUUAGGUGAAUAUUUUUAUUUAAAAUCUGAAUUUUUUAAUAUAAUUAUUUUUAAUAUAAUUAUAUUAUUAAAUAUAAUUAAUUUGUCUAUGUCAUUAGAUUUAAUUAAAAAAUGAGAAAACCCAAGAUUGAAUAGUUUAUUCAUAGAAGAAUAUUAUAUUACAUUAUCAUACUUAAACAAUUACAUUUGACUAAGGAAAAAUUAAAGAUGAAAAUAUGUUAGAAUAAUUGUUUCUGUUAUAAUCAUGUUAAUGUAAAAUUCACAUUUUUUUCUACUUUCUUUUUCAGAGUUAAAAUCGGACUAUCCUUUGCCAUCUUUUUUUUAUUUAUUUUAAUCUUUUACAAGACAUAAAUAAUAAAAAUAUCAAUUCUUAUCACUUAAGUCAAAGAUAACUGUUAGAUAAAUAUUUUUAAAGAUAUUCUUAAUAUAUUUUUAAAGAUAUCUUCAAUAUAACCGUUAUUACUCUUUGAAAUUUUAUGUCUAUGGUAUAAGAUACAUAUAUCAAUUAUUUUUUUACUGUGUUUUUUAGUUUAAUUUAAUAUUACUAACUAAUUUUUUUAUUUUUUUAAUUAACGAACAUAACAAAAAAAAUAUCAACAGCGCAUAAAUUUAAUUACAAAAGUACAUAUAAACUAACUAAAAAAUUGUAAUAUAAUUUUAUUAAAUUUUUUUUAUUUUUCUUUAUCUGUAUAUUUUUCUUUAAAAAAAUAAAACACAAAAUUAUAAAAUUUAAUUUAAUAAAUAAGUAAUUUUAAAACCAAUUAAAAAAAUUAUAUAAUAUAAUAUUUAUAUAAUAAUAUUUUAAAUUAAAAAAACAAAAAAAGAGAGAAAAACUCCCAAGUAAUGUAUAUUAGUAAAAAGUAAGAAAAAAAGGUAUAUUUACUGGAAAAAAACCCGCACAAAGUGGAAUACUUAGACGAUCUCUUAAAAGAGAAUAGUAUAAUAUAUUUUAUAUUUUACAUAAGUUGGGAGAAUGAAGUAUAAUACCUGCCUUUUUAAGGGAAAAGAGAGUGUAAUUUCCUCUCGAAGAAUAUGAUACCAUUUAUGAAGUCAAUGCAAGUCUUGACUGGUUGUCUUGCAUGAUGCAUACGUUGCUAAAUUUCAAACUUCUUACGACCCGCAUAUAAAAAAACCCAAGCAUGUCCACUCCAUCCAGGAACAGCCCUAAUAAGUAAUAACCCUUAGGGAGGGUUACAUGAUCACGAUUUGAUUUGAUAUGCUUCUAGACUAAUAGAUUUUGAGUUAUUUACAAUACUACCCCUUCCAUUCCAUUUUGAGGAGUCAAAAUCAGAUUUCAAAUGCCCCUUCCAUUCCAUUUUGAGUUAUUUACAAUACUACCCUACUACCACCGUUGACUGCACUAGCCAUCAACACGGUGAGACUGACUUUACUUAUGGCCCAUUCGGUAUUUUUCUAUUUGCUCUGCUGAGCUCACACGCUUGCUAAAAUCAUAUAAAAAAACAAAACAUGAACAGUGAUUCAUAUAAAAAAAAAAUAAACAUGAACCAUGCUCAUGUUGUGAUAAUAUAAAGUGGACAGUGGUCCCGAUUAGAGUACCAAAUUCCUUCGUAUUUUAAUUUUUGUUUUGUUGGUGGAUUUGUAUUUUUUAUUGACGAUGAUUAGAGAUUUAACGCGUAUUUAGAUUAAUGAUUUAUUUUAUGAAAAUGAAUCUUUUUUUAAAUAAAAAAAAAAUUUGAACCGACUAUAGAUAAAGUAUUUAAUUUGAGGUGACUUCUUAUAGGAUUAUGCAUAUCCUGAAAAUAGAGAGACGACAUAUUUUCAUGGGAAUGCGAUAAGCGUUGGCGUUGUCUAAUGUAUAUAAAAAGCUUUAAAAACUGAAAGAUGGGGAUAGGUUACGCUACGCAUUUCCAUCCCCAUGUUAAUGUCAUUGUCACAUGCCAUUACCUGCCUGCGCAAGCGUCAAGCUUAAAAAUUAAAAUGUAUGUUUGCCUAAAACGUAAAUAGAGUUGGUGAUUAAUAUAUGUUUAACUAACUGAUUGGACGAUUCUUCCUUUUUGUUUAAUGGAAUUUAUAUAGUAAGAAGUCUUGUUAGAUAGAAUUUUUUUCCAAUCAAUUUUUUUAUUGUUAAUAUGAUAAAUAAGUACUACUACUAUAAAGAGUAUUACAUACUUAAUCGUUGAUCAUGAAAUAUUGUUGGUUGAAUUUUGUGAAUUGUGUAAAAGUAAGAUAUUUUAAAUUCGAGAGUCUAAGAGUUUUAUAAAAUUUUCUUUGAUGGAAAAAAAUAUAAAUAAAAAAUCCUAAUGAAUUAAACUGGGUUCAUAAAUUUAAGAAAUAGGGAGAAUUUUUUAUUUCUCUCAAUAUUUUUUCAAUGUUUAAUGUGUUUAAAUUAAGAUUGAAUAGUUGGAUAUUAAUGUAAAACAGCAAACACGUUAGAGUAAAAUAUCCUUUUGUACUUCAUUCACGCUCUAUCAUCCUAUUUAGUUAAAGUACUAUGAGGCAAGGGUUGAAAUUAAUAUAUAAUUUAAUUAAUUUAUUAAAACGACUCAUACAAAUUUUUUUAAUGUUAUAUCAUUGCAUGCAUUAGAUUUUACUAAAAGCAAAUUUAGUCUUCUUAAUUUUUUUGUUAACAUUAUUAAUUAAUUUUUUCAAAUAAUUAUAAAAUUUUAAUGUCUGUAUACACGCACAUUUUAUUAGUAGUGAAUUUUAUUAUAAUUAAAUUAAUAAUAGAUUUUUACAUAUGUAUUCAUGUGAAAAGUUAUGCGCGCGUUACAUUUAUCAAAAUUAAUAAAUAUAGUAUUUAGAUUUAAUAAUAGAGGAUAUUAUGAAAAUUAAUCAUAUAUUAUUUUUCAUGACAAAUUUUUACCCAUUGCUGAAGUACUAGAUUUCCACCCUUAAUUACAAUGUACGGGUAUAAAUGAGUUCAAAAUACUCCAAUUCAAAAUUUGAGUCAACAUUUCAUUUCCAAAUUAACAUAAUAUUGUUUUCAUAAUUAAGUCACUUUAUUAGCUUAUUUAUUUUCGUGUUUUUAGUUCUACACCACUCUCUAUUUAAUGUUUGUAACCUAAAAAAUUAUCUAUUUAAAGUGAGUUUUUUUUAUCGGCAAUAUUAAGACAAAAUCAAAACCGCGAUUUUUAUCAUGGUUCCUUUCUCUCUUCCCUUCUAUUUAAGGUGGGUAUGCUUAGUAAUUAUAGAACAUAAAGCAAACAUAUACUAUUUAGUGGGUUAAAGUUGUUAUUUUUUAUUUGAAAAGAAAAAAGCAAUUACUAAUAAUAAGUAAUGUAUAUACAUCUUUCAAUUGGACAAACAUUAAAUUAAACUUAAAGUGAAUUACUUAUGCACUUUAAUUUCAAGAAAUUAAGCUCAAUUUCAAUGAAAUUUAAUAAUUUGAUACUUUGUCUUUUUAAGAGAAAAUUAACGUCCAGUAUACUGACACAAACCUGAGUUGCAAAUUAAGUUAUAAAAACUUUAUUUUCGAUGGGUACUUUAAAAAAAAACAGGUGAAAUAUAUACCGUAGUAUGACUUCAAGAAUAUGUAUAAUAGUUAAAUCGAUACCAAGGUUAGGUAGAUUUCUUGUGAAUGAAUCCUGCAAACAUAUCAUUAUCAACGCGAGUCGUGUUAGAAUAGCCUCAAAAUUCAAUCAUCCACUUGAAAAUUUGACCACUAAGACAAAUUCUCACUUCUCUGUGUAUUUUUUUUUCCUAACCUAACAUUUUUUCCUAAUCUAACAUGAUGUUAGAAUAUGUAACGCGAAUAAUAUUAAAGAUGAUUAAAAUAAAUAAAUACAUAAAUAUGUAAAAGCAUACAUAUUAUUACAUCAGAAGUUUUAUAGGAGUACAUAGUAUACAACAAUAUACAUAUUGGAUCAAGCUCCAUGCGUCCUUAAUUUGCACGGUUAAAAGUUUACAAUGUGAAAAGGAUUCAUACCUUGUAAUAUAAUAAAGAAUAAAUAACACAAAAUAUAUAAGGAAAAACAUACAAAGUAUAUAAAUUAACAAAUAUUAUAUUAAUUUUUUAAAAAAUAAUUCUUCAUAGAAAGUUAAUUUUUAUAUUUAAAUAAUUUAAUUUUUCUUCAUUACACUUGAAAUGAAUGCAAAUAACUUCCGAUCCUAAACAAAGAUUAAAUAUAAGAUGUAACGUGAAUAAUAUUAAAGAUGAUUAAAGAAAAUAAAUAUGUAAAAGUAUACAUUAUUACAUGGAAUUGAGCAAAUUAAAGCAAUCUAAAUAUUUUUCACUAAUCAGUAAAAUGGUACUUAAACUGAAGUUCUGUAAUGCAAAGAAUUAUUCAUUUUAAAUCCACACUUAAAUCAGUUUUCCUUGUAAGGUAGUGCAUGCAAUUCAAAUAUUAUAGAAUGCUCCAAUCAUAUAAGAUUGCUUCAAUCAUAAGGUGAUCAGUCAAUGUCCCUCUGUUUUGCGAGAAUACUCCAAUCAUAUAAGAUUAAUAUAGACUUAAAUAAACACUCAAAUCGAGUGUAUUUACCCCCAAUGCUUAGAUUCCGAAGAAUUUAUUAAGGUCUUACCUUUCUGAUUCAGGUCCAACCCCUAAAAUAAAUUUUACAUGCAAAUACUACUCAUGAAUUAUGCAAUAUCCAGGGUCUCACACUUAUUUUCAAAAUACAUUUAACACAAUGCAUUACAAUUUAACUCCUCAGGUUCUUAACUUGGAACCGUACACUCUUCCUUUAACACCUCACGCAUUGCACUACAAUUUAACACCUCAAGUUCCUAACUUGAAAUCUCUAUACUUUCCUUUUAACACCCUUCACAUUACACUACAAUUUAACAUAUCAGGUUUCUAACUUGAAACCCUACACUUUUCUUUUAAAAUCUCGCGCAUAAAUAUUUUUCUCAAGGUAAUCACCAAUUAGGUGAUUGUAUAAUCCACAACUCAAAACACUACUAAUAUCACAUUAAGUAUUAAUCACACUUAUUCAGAAGCUAAUAGGCCAAUUAUAUUAUAAAAUAAUUAAUGUCGCUAUAUAUAACACUAAAAUUUAUAAUGUAUAUUUAAUGCAUAUAUAAAUUUAAAUAACAAAUUUAGUGACAAUUAAAUUUGAUCUAAUAGUUAAUUUAUUUACAUAUAUGAAUUAUUGUUGUGACACCCUCUACCCCUCACAUAUAUACUAAUAAGGAAUAAAAAAAAUCAAAUAUUAAUUAAAAGUAUUUUUUUAUAACAUUUUUUUUACAAGUCUUUCAAAGGGGAAAAAGGCUCACAUUCAUUUUCUUCUACAUAUUUAAACUUGUCCAAAUAAAUAAUAAAGUAUUCUCGACUCAAACAAGGUCGUCUAAGCUUCAUACAAUUAAUAUAGAACCUAUAUCUUAAUGUCACAUCCUAUCAAAGCGUUGUGUUCUCGUGUCCUCUAGCAUGAGGUUCUUCAUAGUCAUCCACCUAUUCAUAUUCUCCCCCGAACACAAGUUCAAGAUCAUCACAGGAUCCAAACACAACAACACACAGGGAGUGAGUUAUCACAUUCCUAGCUAAUAGAGAAACAAGACAAUUAAAUAUACAUAUUAUAUAAAUGAGAUACCACUUGCUUAAACAUAGCUCACGUAAUUUCACCACUUCGUCAUUCAAAAUUCAUUUUUCAAUUAUCAAUCACAUUACACAAGAAUCUCACACUUCGAUCAAGAUAUAAUAACACAUCAAUUAGCAAGCAUAUGCAAUAGUUAUGCUAAGACUCAAUCUUAUAUGCAAUGUGGUACCAUGUCAGUGAAAAAUCACCCUAGGGCGCUUAGGAGUACAUAACAAGACACACCACACAAUGAGUUUGUCAGGUUACUCUCACUAAGUAAGAUCAUAGGGAGACCAGUCAGGGUCACGAUGUUUUGCAAGAAUGCUCCAACCAUAUGGGAUCAGCAUAGACUUAAAGGAGCACUCAAACCCGGUGACCCCCAAGGCCUACACUCUGAAGAGUCCGUUAGGGCCUCUCCCUCCUGAUUCAGGUCCAACCCCUAAAAUAAUUUUUUUCAUGCAGACAUUGCUCAUGAAUUAUACAAUACCCACGACCUUACACUCGUGUUUUAAACACGUUCAACACAAUUGCGCCACGAUUUAACACUGGUUCCUAAAUAGGAGACCUACAUUUUCUCUUUAACACUGUGCAUCAACGCUUUUCUCAAGAUAACGCUGGUCGGGUUAUUGUACAAUUCAUAGCUUACAACACAAGUAAUUUCACAUCAAGUGUUAACUAUACACUUAUCUACAACUAGAACUCAUUCACAAUUUCACAUCUCAUAGUAUCACAAUCCACCAUCACAUGUUUACACGUAUCUCACAAAUUAACACAUGUUGAACUUUACACUUAUACUCAAUCUCAAUAACAAUAUUAUAAUCUCAAAGCAACAUGUUAUUCUACAAUUCAUCACAUACUCACAAUUUGAAUCAUCAUUUCAUAUCAUCAAUAUAACAAUUUAUAUAAAAGACUAUCACAACAUGAGGACUAAAACCCCUCAAAUAAUACUAUACAAUUAUAUCAAAAUCAUAGGUCGAAAUAUACAAAUACCAAGAGCACAAUUUAUCAAGCAAUUUUCAUUAGGACAUCAAUAUUUUAUUUAUAAUCAUAAAGGAAAAGUUGCAAUUUAAUAAACAUCCCAAAAUAAAACUCUAAUUUAAUCCUCUAAGGAUCCCUACACAUGUUCAUUCUAACCCCCAAUUGUGAUAAACUCAUCCCUUACCUCUAAGCGGAUUCACGUGUCUUCCCAUAGCGAUAGCGUCAUCUCUAGGGGUUCCCUAAGAUUUCUCCAAUUUUUCCUCCAAUUGCUCCGAUAGAGUACCAAACGUCAGAGAAACAGAGAAGGGAUUAAAGCCUCCAUUUGGACUAUCUUCAUGCGAUUCGUUUUUCUCCCUCCAAGAACAUUAUCUCGUAAAUCCCAACGGUCAAAGCGUGCAAAAUUGAAUUUCGAACAACAUAUCCAAAUUUCAUGACAAUCCAACGGUUAACGAAACCGGGAUCGUAGUUUUACCAAGACAACUCUGGAUUUCUGCGAGAAAGAAAAAUGCUACAAUGCGAGGGGUAUCUUAGCUCAGACGUGAUAUCAAAAUUCGCAACGGUGAGAAUUCUCGGAAAUGGGUUGCGAACAUGCUGUUUAAAUUUCACGACGACCCAACGGUGAAUGAAUCCGAGAUCGUCAUUUUUCUGAGACAGGUUUGGUGGCCUGCGGGAAAAAGAGAGGGUUUUGGAAAGAGAAGGAGAAAAACGAAAAUGAGGGAAAGAAGAGGCACCAUCAGUGUGAAAACUGACCUAACGUUAUUUAUAACUAGGUUUACUCUAUUUAUUUAUUUAUUAUUUUAUAAAAACAAACUUUAUUUUAUUCUCUAUCAAACAAAUAAAUAAAAUACCCUUUUUAUUUUCUCUCAAAUAAUUAUUUUAAUUAAUAAUUAUAUUUCCUUAUUUAUUUAUUUAUAAAAUCUCAUCAUUUUUUUUAAAAAUCUAUUUAUUUAUAAAUAAUAAUCCUUUUUAAUCUAAUUUACGAAAAUUGAGAUGUUACAAUUAUAAAUAAAACCUAUGAUUUUUAUUUAAAAUUUAUAUAUAUAUAUAUAUAUAUAUAUAUAUAUAUAUAUAAAUAUAUAAAUACAUUAGUAUAUUUAUGUUAAUCAUGUAUUUUUUACAUAUAUAAAAUUUUAUUAAACCUACGGUUUUUAUUUACAAUUUAUAUAUGUAAAUAAAUUAGUUAUUAGAUCAAAAUUAAUUAUCACAAAAUUUAUUAUGUAAAUUUACAUGUAUUCACAAACUAAUAGGCCAAUUAUGUUAUAAAAUAAUUAAUGUCGCUAUAUAUAACACUAAAAUUUAUAAUGUCGCUAUAUUCACAAGCUAAUAUCACAUUAAGUAUUAACCACACACUUAUUCAAAAGCUAAUAGGGCAAUUAUAUUAUAAAAUAAUUAAUGUCGCUAUAUAUAACACUAAAAUUUAUAAUAUAUAUUUAAUGCAUAUAUAAAUUUAAAUAAUAAAUUUAGUGACAAUUAAAUUUGAUCUAAUAAUUAAUUUAUUUACAUAUAUGAAUUAUUGUAAAUAAAACCUAUGAUUUUUAUUUAUAAUAUAUAUAUAUAUAUAUAUAUAUAUAUAUAUAUAUAUAUAUAUAUAUACAUUAGUAUAUUUAUGUUAAUAAUGUAGUUUUUUACAUAUAUAAAAUUAUAUUAAACCUACGGUUUUUAUUUACAAUUUAUAUAUGUAAAUAAAUUAAUUAUUAUAUCAAAAUUAAUUAUCAUGUAAAUUAAUUUACAUGUGCAUUAAAUAUACAUUAAAAGUUUUAAUGUUAUAUAUAACGACAUUAAUUAUUUUAUAACAUAAUUGACUUAUUAACUCAGUUCGUUAGAGUGUUGUACUAAUAUCGUGAAAGUCACAGGUUUAAUUUCUGCCUAGACAAUUAAUUUUAAAUUAAUUUGUAAAAUAUAUCUUUUAAAAAAUUAAUAAAAAAAUUGUAUGAACCACUUACGGAUUGAGUAAUCUAUAAGUCAAUUAUGAAUUUGUAAUUGAUUUAUGAAUUGUGAAUCCGUAAACCAAUUACGGAAAGACAAUAUGGGAAUUACAAAUAUUGUGCUGGGUGUACCAGAAAAACAAAUGGGGCGCGUAGCAAUUCUGAAACCAAUAAUGUUUUGGGGAAUUGCUAGGGGCACCCAGCAAGAUUGCUGGUGCACCCAACAAUUUUUUAGAAUUCCCAAAAUACCCCUUAACGUUUCCGUGGAAGAACCUUCUUCCGCAGUCAAUGUUACAACUGUGGAAGAACCUUCUUCCGUGCCAUCUCACGGAAGAACUUCUUCCGGAGGAAGCCACAGAAGAAGGUUCUUUCGUAGUUAUAAAUUACAACUACGGAAGAACCUUCUUCCGUGAGUUCUUACGGAAGAACUUAUUCCAUGAGUUAAUUUAUUUUCUCGGUUUUAAAAUUUUUGAAUUAUUUUGUAUUAGCCUAUGUUAUUUUUUAUUCGAGUUAUUAUUACAAAAUUUAGUGCAUUUUUAAUUUGGGUUAUUAUUAAAAAAUAAAAAAUAUUUAUUUAAUAUAUAUUAAAUUUUGUAAUAGUAAAAAAUUUGUGAUAGUAAAUAUUUUUUAUUUUUAAAUAAAUAUACGGAUUAAAUAUGUUUUAUUUAAUCUGGGUUACUAUUAUAAAACUUAAUGUAUACUUAAUUUGGAUUACUAUUACAAAAUUUAAUACAUUAAAUAUUUUUGUAAUAGUAACCUGAAUUAAUGCACUAAAUAUUUUUUAUUUAAUUCGGAUUACUAUUAUAAAAUUUAAUGCAUGAAAUAUUUUUGUAAUAGUAACCAGAAUUAAAUAUGCAUUAAAUAUUUUUAUUUAAUUCGGAUUGCUAUUACAAAAUUUAGUGCAUAUUUAAUUCGGGUUAUUAUUACAAAAUAAAAAAUAUUUAUUUAAUAUAUAUUAAAUUUGUAAUAGUAAAAAAAUUUGUGAUAGUUAAUAUUUUUUUAUUUUUAACUCACGGAAGAAACUUUUUUCCGCAGUUAAAGUCGCGUUUUUUAAACAAGGGCAGUUUUGUCCAUUCACAUAAUUUCUGGGUGCACCAACAAUUUUGUUGGGUGCACCUAGCAACUCCCAUGUUGUGUGUUGGACUUUUAUGGACUUUCUUAUAUUUAGGGUUUUUUAAUUGUAAUCCAUAGGCCUAGUAUAUCAACACACUUUCGUAUGAACUAGGGUUAUCAGAAAUUAAAUGUAGAAGCAGUAUUCUUUAAGCUUUCCUUUAUCGUCCACUUGCAAUUUAUCUUUCUUAGUCUAGUUAGCAGCAGAGUCUAUCAAUCUAAAUGUGAAAUGCUAUUCAGUUAUCUAAGACUGGACCACUUUAGAAGAUAAGAACGAAACAUCGUAGUCCUAAAAAUGCAUUAUUAUGGCGUCAUAUGUAAAGGUGAUUCUCACAAAAUAUUUCUCAUGCUGGUGUUGGUCAGCAUAACACAUUUUAUCUUUAAGCUUUCCUUUAUCGUUCCCUUGCAAUUUAUUUUUAGCAGCAGAAUCUAUCAAUCUAAAUGUGAAAUGCUAUUCAGUUAUCUAAGACUGAACCACUUUAGGAGAUAAGAACGAAACAUCGUAAUUCUAAAAAUGCAUUAUUAUGGCGUCAUAUGUAAAGGUGAUUCUCACAAAAUGUUUCUCAUGCUGGUGUUGGUCAGCAUAACACAUUUUUCUUCUAGAACACAGGAUAUCUAGGCAAUUCUAUCAUGAGCAUAAUGCUUUACGUAAAACAGCCAAUCAAAAACUCAAGAUAAAAUUGAAAUAAUUUCAGUUCAAGCUUCCUUCUAAGUAAUUCAUGCAUUUUCCUUUUCUUUGCUGACUUGUCGUUAAUUUUAAAUUAAUUGAAGGAAAGGGAACAAUUGAUUUGAAUUAUUAUAUUUUCUGAAGCAAAAAAUAACACUAUAUUAGUUUCCUUUAUUUUAAUAGGAAAAAAAUAAAGCUUACAAAUGUUAUCAUUGAUUUGGUUAAGGUAUCUAAAGUUCGGAAACCAAAAAACUAAAAUAAAAUGAUCUACAAUAUAAAAAAAAAAGAUACAAUACAACACUAGAAAAGAACAAUUAAAACUCAAGCAUGUUUAUUAAGUUCAAUCUUUCAGCUAUAUAUAAGUGAGAAUGUAGAGCUAAUCCAUUGAAGAUGAGCUUGACAUUACCAGCUCAUUGGCAACCUGCUCCAUGGUAGGGCGAGAUCGUGGACUUUCAGUCAAGCAGGCCAUUGCUAUCUUUGCAAUUGAUGCCACUUCCUUACCAAUUGGCUUUGUUGGAUGAGGGAGACGUGGGUCCAACUUAUCCAUCAAUGCCAUGUGAUCGAGUGUUGAGGCCACAAGGGUAGAUGGAGAUGAUCCCAAUAAAGAAGAUAUAUCAUCACCAGGGUGCUUCCCAACAAGUAUUUCCCAUGCUAGGACCCCAAAACUAUACACGUCACAUUUCUCAUUCACCUCCAUUGUGUAUGCAAGUUCUGUAACAAAAUAAAAGUGCUAUCACACGCAAAAUAGGAUUCUAGUGACAAAGGCAAAAUGUGGACAAUUGUGACUAAGAAAGGCAAACUAAAAAAUAUGAUAUCCUCAAUUUAGUAUAAAGAAAGGUAAUUAACCUGGAGCAGCAUAUCCAAAGGUUCCUACGAAUGAGGUCCAAUUGGAUGAAUCUGGAUUAAGAAACUUGGCUGUUCCAAAGUCUGAGACAUGAGCUACAUAUUCGGAAUCCAAAAGAACAUUCUUGCUUGAUAUAUCACGAUGAACAAUUCGAGGUGAGCAUUCAUGGUGCAUAUAGCACAAAGCAUUUGCUACAUCUUUAACAACAUUCACCCUCUUAUACCAAUCAAAUGCCAUUGCUUGUCCAUCAUCCUUCAGAGUCUUCUCAACACUGCCAUUCUCCAGGAAUUCACACACCAAAAAUGAGAAUUGUGAAUGUGAACAAAACCCAUAUAACUUUACAAUGUUACGAUGUCGAAUUUCUGUCAAAGCUUGGAUCUCACAUGUGAAAGCUUUCAGAUUGAGCAUCUCUCCAUUUGGAACUGAAUGGAGUUUCUUCACAGCAACAACUUGACCUGUAGGCAGCACUGCUUUGUAAACACAUCCUUGCCCUCCAACACCAAUGAGAUGUUUGUCGUCAAAAUCUUCUGUGGCUUCAAUAAUAUUCUCGAAUACCAUUUUGCCAUCAAAACUCCAUAUUGCAAAUAUGUUAGGAGUUUGUAUACUUGUAGCCUGGUCUUCUUUGUUCGUUGAGGUUUGGCAUAAAUGAUACCAGACUCCGAAAGCAAAUAAUGCCAGUAUUAGAAUGCCCAAAGUAAGGGGUAAAAUUACUAUCAUUACUUUCUUCCUCAUAUGAUUAUGAGAUUUCCCACUUGAUGUUGAGCAAGGCUCCAAGCCAGUGACAUUGCCACACAAGCCUUUAUUAUUUCUCAAUGCUUCAAUUUUAGCAUUGUGGAAGGCUAGAAUGUUUGGAAGUGGACCCUCAAACUGGUUGUAUGAUAUAUCAAUAGAUGUCAAGCUCGUCAUAUCAUCGAAGCUAGAGAGAUUACCUGAAAGAUUAUUGUGAGAGAGAUUCAGUGUUUCUAAGCUUUUUAAUUCUCCAAACAUUGAAGGUAUUGUUCCUCUCAAUGAAUUUCCACCAAGAUCAAGACUCGUAAGAGAUUUCAGUUUGCCAAGCUCUGAAGGAAUAUUUCCCUGAAAAUUAUUUUGGCUCAGACUCAUGUUCCAUAAAUUGAGCAAAUUUCCUAGUUGUUUUGGGAUUAAGCCAGACAACUUAUUUGAUCCAAGCUUCAAAAUUUGAAGUUUCUGCAUUGAUGCUAUUUCUUUGGGAACAUUUCCUGUAAGAUUAUUGUUGUCGAGUGAGAGAUCAAACAAGGGCAAGUUACAUAAAUCAUGUGGAAUGUUUCCUGUAAGAUGGUUUGAAGACAGCUGAAGUCGUUGUAAUUUGGUUGCCCCAGCUAGCUCUGGUGGUAUCACACCUGAUAAAUUAUUGUUGGAGAUCCUGAGGCUUGUGAGGCUACGAAACUUUCCCCAGUUAGGUGAAAGUUGACCAUAAAAGUUAUUGUCACUCAAUUCGAUGUAGUCCAAAUUUGGAAGUACACCAAAAGCAUCUGUUAUAUCCCCAGUUAGCUGGUUUCGCUGAAGCCUGACUCUUAUAAGGCUGGAGCAAUUCUUCAAACUCACUGGAAUUGGCCCUAUGAAGUUGUUAUCACCUGCGGUAAAAUUUUUCAACGUUCCACCAAUGCAAAUGUUUUGAGGUAAAUGGCCUAUAAAAUUAUUGUCAGCUAGCUGCAAACUUUCCAGAGCAGUAAGCAUGCUCAUUUCUAUUGGAAUCUUGCCACCAAGUUCAUUUCCAAUAAAAAAUAAUUCCCUGACAUUUGAUAAAUUUCCAAUAGUUGAAGGAAUUGAUCCAGUGAGUUCAUUCAAGGAUAUAGAUAAUACACUAAGCUUUGACAAAUUUCCAAUGGUGAAAGGAAUGGACCCAGAGAGUUUAUUUUCUUCAAGGAGCAAGGAGUCCAAAUGGACCAAGUUGCCUAUGGAAGCUGGGAUUGGUCCAGUGAGUUCAUUAGAGUGUAUAGAUAAUUUACUAAGCUUUGACAAAUUUCCAAUGGUGAAAGGAAUGGACCCAGAGAGUUUAUUUUUAAAAAGGCGCAUGGCUUCCAAAUUGACCAAGUUGCCUAUGGAAGCUGGGAUUGGUCCAGUUAGUUCAUUCAAGGAUAUAUAUAAUCCACUAAGCUUUGACAAAUUUCCAAUGGUGAAAGGAAUGGACCCAGAGAGUUUAUUUUCUUCAAGGAGCAAGGAGUCCAAAUGGACCAAGUUGCCUAUGGAAGCUGGGAUUGGUCCAGUGAGUUCAUUAAAGGAUAUAGAUAAUACACUAAACUUUGACAAAUUUCCAAUGAUAAAAGGAAUGGAUCCAGAGAGUUUAUUUUUAUGAAGGAUCAUGGAGUCCAAAUUGACCAAGUUGCCUAUGGAAGCUGGGAUUGGUCCAGUGAGUUCAUUAGAGUGUAUAGAUAAUUUACUAAGCUUUGACAAAUUUCCAAUGUUGAAAGGAAUGGACCCAGAGAGUUUAUUUUUAAAAAGGCGCAUGGCUUCCAAAUUGACCAAGUUGCCUAUGGAAGCUGGGAUUGGUCCAGUUAGUUCAUUCAAGGAUAUAUAUAAUCCACUAAGCUUUGACAAAUUUCCAAUGGUGAAAGGUAUGGACCCAGAGAGUUUAUUUUCAUAAAGGAGCAAGGAGUCCAUAUUGACCAAGUUGCCUAUGGAAGUUGGGAUUGGUCCAGUGAGUUCAUUAGAGUAUAUAGACAAUACACUAAGCUUUGACAAAUUUCCAAUGAUGAAAGGAAUGGACCCAGAUAGUUUAUUUUUAUGAAGGAUCAUGGAGUCCAAAUUGACCAAGUUGCCUAUGGAAGAUGGGAUUGCUCCAGAGAGGCUGUUAUCAUAAAAGGAAAGAUAAUAUAAAUUGCUCAAGUUUCCAAUUGUAGAGGGGAUUUCACCAGAGAGAAAGUUAUCAGACAAAUCAAGUCGAGCAAGUUGUUUCAAAAAACCAAUUUCAGGAGGAAUGAAGCCAGAAAGAUUAUUAUUUCCGAGAUAUAGAUUCUGGAGGUUAACCAACUUCCCAAUUUCACGAGGAAUGUGACCUAAAAGUUUGUUUUUGUGUAGCCUUAUACGUGUUAGAUUGACCAGUGCUCCAAUUUUAGAGGGGAUUUCACCAGAGAGAAAGUUAUCAGACAAAUCAAGUCGAUCAAGUUGUUUCAAAAAACCAAUUUCAGGAGGAAUGAAGCCAGAAAGAUUAUUAUUUCCGAGAUCUAGAACCUGGAGGUUAACCAACUUCCCAAUUUCAUGAGGAAUGUGACCAAAAAGUUUGUUUUCGUGUAGCAUUAUAAGUGUUAGAUUGACCAGUGCUCCAAUUGAAAUAGGAAAGGACCCAAUAAGAUUACACAUGCGUAUGUCAAGUUGUUCUAAAUUACGCAACGUCCAUAUUUCUUCGGGCAUGGAGCCAGACAAGCCACUUUUCCACAUACGUAGAAUCUUUAGGUUCCUUAACUUCCCAAUAUCACGAGGAAUAGACCCGCUGAAACUGGAUUGGCUCAUGUCAAGCCAUGUUAGAUUCCUCAGCAUCCAUAUUUCUUUGGGAAUGGAGCCAGAAAGCCCACUUUUCCAAAGCCAGAGAGUCUCGAUGCUCCUCAAAUUCACAAUUUCUUUGGGGAUGGAACCGUUGAAGUUAUUACCAGCAAAUGACAAAUGCUUUAGGUUCAUAUGCCAAAUUCUCAGCUGAAUGUUGCCAGAAAGGUUGUUGCUUUCGACAUCUAGAUGAGACAAAAUGCUUAACUUUUCUAUUGAGAUUGGGAUAGUCCCUGAGAUAUUGGACCGAGGAAUAUCAAGUAUUCUCAGAUUCAUCAAUCUACCUAUUUCUUGAGGAAGGGAUCCAGUGAAAUUAUUAUCACCUAUGCGCAAUGUAUGAAGACCAACCAAGUGUACUAUUUCAGAAGGAAUAGUACCAGAGAGAUCAUUGUCAGAAAGAUUAAGAAACAAGAGUUUGGAGAGAUUACCAAUGGUAUUGGGAAUGCUACCAAAGAGGUUAUUAGUGGACAAGUCAAGAGUGUUGAGAUUGGAUAAGGAACCAAUUUGAGGAGGAAUAGUUCCAUUCAGGGAGUUGUGACUCAUAUUUAGAGUGAGAAUGUUUGGAAGUAAUGAGAAGUUGAGAUUUUGAAGCGUACCUCUUAAUCCAACAUUUGUAAGAUUUAUGUUGGAAACAGAAUUGAACUCAUCACAUGCAAUUCCGAGCCAAAUGCAAGGAUUGUUGCCACUCCAUGAAGAGAGAGAAGCACGACUUUGGUUGUCAAGGCUGGAUUUCCACUUCAACAAAGCAUUUGCUUCUGAAGCAAUCUCAGAAGAAGCAGCAAAUGCACAGAAGUACAUCACAAGAAGCAGCAAAAGUGGUUGGAGCUUCAUGGACAGAAGCGUUGGAAAUAUGAACACCAUGAGUAAAUUUUGAGGAAGGAUUCAAUCACAGAUUGUCUGAUACAAUCAAAUGCAGGAGAAGUACUUACAAGCAAUUCAUGGGAUAUGCAUAUUUAUAUGCAAAACAUCAUGAAACACGAACCAGAGUCAAGAAAUAUUGUACUUUUCUUUCGUUGAAGUCAAGAGAUAUUUUACUGUAUCUACAUAAAUAUAUGUUACAGCUUGGUUCAAAAUAGAAAAGUUUUACACCUUUAAUCUCCAACCUUUUGCAACUGUGCUUUCGAAGCUAUCCUUUUUAUUUUAAGCUUUUGACGUUUUUUAAAAACAUAAUUCAAUAAUUAUAAUUUUUUAUAAAACAUUUAUUUUGAGUUAAAAAUAAGCCCGUGUUUUUUGGUAUAGAUUUUUUUGUCUAACAAUAGAUAUUCUUUAAUGAAAGUUAUGUUCUUCAAGUCAAAUACCAUAAUUAUGAAUAAUCAGAAGUCAAACUUGAAAUUACUACUUAAGCUUGAACAACUCACAUUAAUUGAUUCACAUAUUCACUCACUAUUUUUUUUUUUUUGGUACUAUGAACAUUAAAUCAUCAUGAUAAUUUUUUUACUAAAAAGUUGAAGAUCUUGAAUGAACUAAAAAUAUAAUCAAAAUAUAAUAUAUAACUGAAAAGUAAUCAUAAUCUUAUAAGUUGAGUUUAUAAGAUUAAGUUAAGUUUAUAUUCAAAUUGUAAGAGUAAAUUAGAAUUUUUAUUCAUUAUUUAUAUUUUAGGUUUUAAUUUAAUUAGUCCAUUAAAUUUAAAUUUUUUUACUUUAGUUUAGACCAUUAAAAUUUCUCUUUGUUAAACAAGUUUGGUGACAUGAAUAAAUUGUAAGAGAUAUCAUAUGGGCUAAAAUUGACAUUAUUAGUGUAAAAAACAAAUUUGGUCUAACCCAUGUGAUAGAUGAAAAGAAACUUUUGAAGUACAAAAUCCCAAACUAAAACUUAAAAUAUACAUAAGAAUCCAAUUUUUUUUUUUAAAAAAAAAACCUUUUUUGCUUCUCUGUCUUGGUUGAGAAUUAUUUUGGUUGCUUAUUUUUUGUGAUUUUUCCUGUCCUAAUUAUAUUUUUUAUCCAUAAAACAAAACUCAAAUGUAAGACAUUAAUUAUUUAAGGAAAUAAGAGAAAUAGCGUAAUAUCACUUAAUUCAAUAACUUAUAGGUAAGUGAAACAUUUUCUAUAUUACUUUUUUUAUAUUUUUCAUUUGUAUUUCUAUUGCAGAUUAAUUACAAUUUGAUUUCAGUUGUCACAUAUAUGAUUAUCGUACUUCACAAAAUCAAAAUUAAAAUUUACUUUUAAAUUAUUAUCUUUUAAUUAUGACCAAUUAUUUUCUCAAUAUACAUUACUUACUUUAUACUUUCUCUCUCCUUUUUAUUUUUUAAUUUAAAAUAUUAUAAAAUAUAAAUAUUAUAUUAUAUAAUUUUUUAAUUGAUUUUAAAAUUACUUAUUUAUUAAAUUAAUUUUUAUAUAUAUAUUUUAAUUUAUUUUAAAGAAAAUAAUAUUAUUAAAUAUAAUUAUUUUUGUUUUUUUAUUUAAUUUACUUAACGUAUUUUUUAGGUGAAUAUUUUUAUUUAAAAUCUGAAUUUUCUCAUAUAAUUAUUUUUAAUAUAAUUAUAUUAUUAAGUAGAAUUAGUUUGUUUAUGUCAUUAGAAUUAAUUUAAAAAUGAGAGACUUUUUGUUUAACGGUUUAUUCAUAAUCAUUAUAUUGCAUUAUAAUACUUAAAAAAUUAUAUAUGACUAAGAAAAAAUUAAAGAUGAAGAUAUGUUAGGGCGAUUAUUUCUGUUAUAAUCAUGUUGCCCGUAAAAUUCAUAUUUUUUUCUACGUUCAGAGUUAAAAUUGAACUACCCUUUGCCGUCCUCUUUCUUUUAUUUUUCAUAUUUUUAUUUUUUAUAAGUCAUAAAUAAUAAAAAUAUCAAUUUUUAUCACUUAAGUCAAAGAUAAUUAUUAAAUAAAGAAAACAUACAAAAAAAAGGACAAAAUAAAGGAAGACUACUAACGCGGAUAUAAGAAAACCCAAGCAUGCCCACUGCAUCCAGGACCAGCCCUAGUAACAACCCUUAGGGAGGGUUACAUGAUCACGAUUUGAUUUGACAUGCUUCUAGAUUAACGACUCAAAUGAAAAAUAUUGAAUUUCCUUCCUUUUUUAAUAUAUAUAUAUAAAUGAAUUUAUUAUUCAAUAAAAGAAUUAAAAACGUCAUUAAAACCCUAAAUUUUAUAGAAAUUAAUGUAAAAUAGCAAGCACGUUAGAGUAAAAUAUCCUUUUUUACUUCAUUCACGCUCUAUCAUCCUAUUUAGUUAAGGUACUAAAAGGCAAGGGUUGAAAUUAAUAUAUAAUUUAAUUAAUUUAUUAAAACGACUCAUACAAAAAAUUUCAAUGUUCUAUCAUUGCAUUAGAUUUUACUAAAAGCCAAUUUAGUGUUCUUAAUUUUUUUUUAUCAUUAUCAAUUAAGUAUUAAAAUAUUUAUUAAUAGCAAUAUUACUAGAAUAAAUUACACUUUCCUCUCUGAAAAAAUACGAAUAUCACACUAUCAUCUCCUCUUAUAUUAAAAAUUUUACUCUCUUUACCUAACAAAUUUGAAUACAUGACUCUUUAUUUCUUUUUAAUUUUGCGUUAAAAUAAACUACAUUAUUAAAAUAUUCUUUACAAUACCACCUCCUCAAAGGUGCAAAUAUUUCACUGCACUCCCUUCUUCUGUUAAAAUACAUACUUCACCCUUAACUAAUAUGUGCGCGCGUGUGUAUAUAUAUAUAUAUAUAUAUAUAUAUAUAUAUAUAUUUAUUAUUUAUAUAUAUAUAUAUAUAUAUAUAUAUAUAUAUAUAUAUAUAUUUAUUAUUUUUUUGGAUAUUUCGUUUUAAAAUGUUUGAUAAUUAAUUUUUUUAAACAAUACACACACUUACACACAUUUAUUUGUUUAUGUUAGUACUGAAUUUUGUUAUAAUUAAAUUUUAUUUAAUAAUAUAUUUUUACAUUAAUAUAUUCAGGUGAAAAGUUAUACGUUACAUUUAUUAAAAUUAAUAAAUAUAGUAUUUAAAUUUAAUAAUAGAGGAUAUUAUGAAAGUUAAUUAUAAAUUAUUUUUUAUGACAAAUUUUUAACCAUUGCUGAAGUACUAGAUUCCCACCCUUAAUUACAGUACACGCGUAUAAAUUAGUUCAAAAUACUCCAAUUGAAAAUUUGAGUCAUAACUUUUCAUUUCCAAAUUAACAUAAUAUUGUUUGCAUAAUUAAGUCAAUUUAUUAGCUUAUUUGUUUCGUGUUUUUAGUUUUACACCACGCUCUAUUAAAUGUUUGUAACCUAAAAAAUUAUCUAUUUGAAGUGAGUUUUUUUGGUGUGUAUGAAACCCAAGUUAGAAUUCUAAACAGAAAAAAUUAUUCCCUACUAUAACGCUAACGCUAUAUUAUUUGGUUUUAGCCUUGAGCGUUUGGAACGGGGGGAAAUGAUGUUGGCAUUUGAUGAGAGAAUUAUUGUGUUGAAUGAUGUACGUACAUGUAUAUAUCAUUCGCACUGCGUCAGGAAGCCCUUUGAAGCACCUAUUAUUAAUUUCUGCCUCCUUUGACUUGUUGACAAGUGUAUCAAAAUAUCAUAAAUAUUCGAAUGUUCGAGUAUGCUCAUAGAUUUUGUUUGUACUUAGAUAAAUACAAAUCUAAUUUUACGAAGCAAGAGAUAAGAAAUUUAAAAUAAAAAAUAAAAAAAGAUAAUAGAUAAGAUAAAUAUUUAAAGAUUAAAAGAUGAUAAAACUAAAAAAGAGAUAAGAUAAGAAAAGUAAAAGAUAACAUAAAUAAAAGAUAUGAAAAGAUAAGAUAUGAUAAUAUUGAGACCUGACAUGUCCUAAUUUACCUAGGAUGUAUGACUUUAUGAUUUUUCUUUACCAUGGGCAUAAUGCAAUCACUCUAUGCCUAAUGAUUUUAUUAUGAUAUUUUUUUUCUUGUUCUAUGAGAAGUUAUCUUCUCCCGAAAGUCUAACCCCUAAAACUAAUGCAUGCAUAUCUUUAAAGAUGAGUAUGCAAGAUAAAUAAUGAAGAGUACAUCAUACAUCACAAGGCUUGCUAGGCCCUAACUAAGGGUUUAGCCACCCAUGACCAAUGAGAAGAUGAGUGAAAGAAAGAGAGGGAGUAAAUGAAAUCCUUAGGAGAGGGGUUCCGUGGUGGUGUGUUGUUUCCUCCCUUGGACUGACUCUUUAUUUAUAGCUGUUGAAGUAGGCUUUGGGCCUUCUAUUUAUCACUGUUGAAGUAGGCUUUGGGCCUUCGUAGGCGCGCUUAGCGCGACACCCCUCGCUCAGUGCGUAUUGUAGGCUUAGCAUGUACUUCUGUUGGAUCGCAGGCUUAGCGCGCGUGUUGCAAGUUUAGCACGUUCUAGUUCAGUUAUGCGCGCUUAGCGCCGGUUGUGCGCUAGGCGCAUGUGAAAACUCUCGAGUUUAACGCCUUGCUUAGCGUCUAUGGUUUCUGACGCGCUUAGCGCGUAUUGGGCUGAGUCUGUUCAGAUUUUUUUCUUUUCUUUUAUUUUUUUGAUCUUUUUGCUUGUUACACCUCCAAUUUUUAUAUCUACAACCAAAAUUUAACAAAACAUCAAUUCUUUAAUAUUUAAGUGCAAAUAACUGUUAAAUAAUUAUUUUUAAAGAUAAUUUUACCUUAUUUUUUAUUUUCAAAAUACAAUUAUUUAAUAGUUAUCUGCCUCCAAUCUAUUCAAAUUCCGUAAAAGCUUUGAUCUAACUUGCAUCCAUCUUGCGUGAUGAACAAUCAAAGACGUACUAGCAAGUCUUACAACCUAUAUCAUACUUUUGUGACAUAAUAUAUUAAUUACUCUAUAAAAUAUAUUAAGAAGACAGUUCCUAUUGAAAAUAGAAAGUGUGUGACGAGUAAAUCAUUAUUUUGUUAAAUAUUUAUUUUUGUAAAUCCUGAAUCAUCAUCAUUGUCAUUAUCAUCGACUUAGUCUUGCUUGUGUAGUGACACUUUUAAUUUCAACAUGAAAGGGACAGUAUGAAUGUAACGUCUUGCAAAUCCACCACGUAUAAUUAUGUUUCAUUAUUAUCCAUUCAUUAUUAUCCAUUAGACCAUUUUCCAAACAACUGUACUUAAACAAUAUAAGUAUGUAAUAUAUAUAUAUAAGGGAAUUUAAAAUAUUGGUUCCAAAUUUUUUGAAUAAACAUCAUAAUGUGAAAUAUUUAUUAUUAUUUUAUUUAAAUUAUAUCUAUUAUAAAAAAUAAUUAUGUUUAAAUCAAAUAAAAUUAUCAUGAAUUAUAAAACUCUUUCUUCAAAUAUUAAUUUAAUAUAAAUGUAUGCUCAGAAUUCGAGUUCAAGACUAUUAUUCGUUAAACAAGAUUAUACCCAAGCCAAUUAAUUCAAGCCUUGACGAUAGUAUUUAUUAAUUUUACUAAUAAAUUUUUAAAAAAAUAUGACUGGUCACAUAUGAUGCUUUUACAAAAAAUAAGACAGUAGUGACAUUUUACUAAAGGUUUUAGUUUAGGGAAAAGAGAGUGUAAUUUCCUCUCGAAGAAUAUGACACUAUUUAUGAAGUCAAUGCAAGUCUUGACGGGUUGUCUUGCAUAAUGCAUACGUUGGUAAAUUUCAAAUUUCUUUUGGCAUUUGAAGGGAAAGAUACAAAAAAAAAAAAAAAACAAAGGAUAAAACAAAGGAAGACUACGACGCGCAUAUAAGAAAACCCAAGCAUGUGCACACUUCAUCCAGCCCUAAUAAGUAAUAACCCUUAGGGAGGGUUACAUGAUAACGAUUUGAUUUGAUAUGCUUCUAGAUUAACGACUCAAAUGAAAAAUAUUGAAUUUCCUUCUUAAUUUUUAUAAUAUAUAUAAAUGUAUUUAUUAUUCAAUAAAAGAAUCAAAAACGUCAUUAAAACCCUAAAUUUUAUAGAAAUUAAUGUAAAACAGAAAACACGUUAGAGUAAAAUAUCCUUUUUUACUUCAUUCACGCUCUAUCAUCCUAUUUAGUUAAAGUACUAAAAGGCAAGGGUUGAAAUUAAUAUAUAAUUUCAUUAAUUUAUUAAAACGACUCAUACAAACUUUUUUAAUGUUCUAUCAUUGCAUGCAUUAGAUUUUACUAGAAGCAAAUUUAGUCUUCUUAAUUUUUUUGUUAACAAUAUUAAUUAAGUAUUAAAUAUUUAUUAAUAGCAAUAUUACUGGAAUAAAUUACACUUCCCUCUCUUAAAAAAUACGAAUAUCACACUAUCAUCUCCUCUUCUAUUAAAAAUUUUACUCUCUUUACCUAACAAAUUUGAAUACAUUACACUUUCUUUCUUUUUAAUUUUACGUUAAAAUUCUGUUUGUUUCUUUUAAAAUAAACUAGAUUAUUAAAAUAUUCUUUACACUACCACCUCUUCAAAGGUGCAAAUAUUUCACUGCACUCCCCUCUUGUGUUAAAAUACAUACUUCAUCUCUUAACUAAUGCGUGCGUGCGCGAUAUAUAUAUAUAUAUAUAUAUAUAUAUAUAUAUAUAUAUAUAUAUAUAUAUAUAUAUAUUUAAAUGUGUGANNNNNNNNNNNNNNNNNNNNNNNNNNNNNNNNNNNNNNNNNNNNNNNNNNNNNNNNNNNNNNNNNNNNNNNNNNNNNNNNNNNNNNNNNNNNNNNNNNNNNNNNNNNNNNNNNNNNCAUAUAUAUACAUGUGGAAAGUUAUGCGCGCGUUACAUUUAUCAGAAGUAAUAAAUAUAGUAUUUAGAUUUAAUAAUAGAGGAUAUUAUGAAAAUUAAUCGUAUAUUAUUUUUUCAUGACAAUUUUUUACCCAUUGUUGAAGUACUAGAUUUCCACCCUUAAUUACAAUGUACGGGUAUAAAUGAGUUCAAAAUACUCUAAUUCAAAAUUUGAGUCAUAACAUUUCAUUUCCAAAUUAACAUAAUAUUGUUUGCAUAAUUAAGUCACUUUAUUAGCUUAUUUAUUUUCGUGUUUUUAGUUCUACACCACUCUCUAUUUAAUGUUUGUAACCUAAAAAAUUAUCUAUUUAAAGUGAGUUUUCUUUAUCGGCAAUAUUAAGACAAAAUCAAAACCGCUAUUUUUAUCAUGGUUCCUUUCUCUCUUCCCUUCUAUUUAAGGUGGGUAUGCUUAGUAAUUAUAGAAGACAAAACAAACAUAUACUAUUUAGUGGGUUAAAGUUGUUAUUUUUUAUUUGAAAAGAAAAAAACAAUUACUAAUAAUAAGUAAUGUAUAUACAUCUUUCAAUUUGACAAACAUUAAAUUAAACUUAAAGUGAAUUACUUAUGCACUUUAAUUUCAAGAAAUUAAGCUCAAUUUCAAUGAAAUUUAAUAAUUUGAUACUUUGUCUUUUUAAGAGAAAAUGUCCAGUAGAACUGGGAAAGUAUUAAUAACAUAAUAAUAAUCUUGAGCUUUCUUUAAAGGCAGCAUUAUAGUUGAGAAUGUGGCACCAGAUAUACUAUUACAAUCUGUGCUUAUAGAGUUUCAAUGCACUCAAUUUCAAUCUUGGCAUCCAAUGGCAAUUUAGCCACUUCUUAAAUUGAACCAUUGGAAAAGCAGCUAAGUAAAAUUGUUGAAGUAAUUAUAGGCAUUAAUUAUGAGUGAAAAUUAAAUAAUACCAACUCAAGGGGAAAAUCUUAUGAUUUUCAGCAUAGUACUAGUAGUUUCUCUAGCAUUAAUCAUCCUUAUUAUAUAUUAAAUAUGACAAGUUGACAAAAUAACCAAUUAUGUAUGACAAGAUGAAUCUUUAAGAGUUAAACCAUAAUAAAGCGUGAAGGUUUUAAAUCUAACACCUGCUCACUCUUUUUCCAUGUUACGUGUAUGUUACCUACAAGCUAACACAUUCUCAGCCCACAAAUGUAACAGGAUAAUUUUUACAGCACAGAAUAAAUUAUUGCCAUAAGUGAAAUUCAUUAGUAAACACACUACCCACUCUUUUAAAUGCACUCCUUACUAUUAGUUGAAAUCAGUUAGAAAUUGCUAAAUCUAUUCCCAGAGGAUCAUAUGUCAGUGGUAAAACAAUCAAAAUGCUAAUUCCUAAACACACAUAAAACUGGGAUCCCGAUUUCCUAGAGAGCCAUGCUAAGGGCAAAUCUGUCAAGUCUAAACUCUAUUACAUACUUACGUAGAAUACAAAGUACAAAGAUUUAUGAGUAUGAGUUAAAUAUACAACAUCAAAGAGAACCAACCAGACUUUCCAAUAUUUCCAAAUUUGAAAUGCAACUCUAGGAUUGUGUGGUAGCCUACUUGUUAAUUAUGCUACAACAUCCUAGUAAAACACUAAAGUAUCAGAAUUUCGGUGCUGAAUCACAUGAUUUUGCUUUAUAUGCAGCAGCAAAUUAGAGUACAAUAAAACCAAUGACAAUGACAAAGGUUUAUAUGUAGGUCAGUGUAGCACAGGUUUUAAUUUGGUUCGCAUACCUUGAGUGAAAAACCGCACACAGUUUUUGAUGGUACACAAAACCUAACAGUAGUAAAAGCUAAAUAAAUUACCAAGAAAUCUAAAAGCAAGUAAUAAAGUCAAAAUCAUUUUACAUACAAAGAGAAUGGCGCGAGAGAAAGGUUCACCAACAAUGGCAGAACCAGACCGCAAGAGGAAAACUCAAAAAAGAGAAAGAGCGAGGCAGAGACAAACAAUUACGAGAGCGAGAGAGACGACUCCAACGAUGGCAAUGUGAUAGGUAGGGUUUAUGAAAGGGAGGGCAAUAAUGGCGAGGGUCAAGGAAUAGAGCUUCGUGAGGGCAACAGUGGUGAAGGCACGGAUACAAACCCUACAUUGUUCCCCAUAACCCUAAUGCACAGAUACAAACAAUUAAAUAUUAUAUUAUAAUUUUUAAACCCUACCGCGUAAAACAAAAUCACUAAAUCCUAACACUAACUAAAAUUUAUUAAAAAAAACACUUUAAACAGGAGAAGCCUUUCAGGGUAACAGCUUCAAGGUGAAGCAGAUCAGGGUAGUUUCACCAAGUCAAUUUAACCAAAAAAGCACUUUAAACAAAAGAAAGUUUUCAGGGUAGCACCUCCUAUGUGAAGCAGACCAGGAUGACAACUCCUCUUGUACUGACAUCCACCUAAACAAAUGACAGAGAUCAGGGUAGCAUCAUUAUAGGAGGAGGCUUACUGAUGCUUCUCAUCAUCAACGUGAUAAAAAAAAAUUCAUCUUGAUAAAUAAUUUGUUGACCAACUCAUAUAGGUAAAUAGCUUUUAUUUUUCACCCAUAUUGAUAAAAAAGUUGACAAAUGACAUUAAUUUCAAAAUCAGGGAUAAAAAUAUGGGACCAAAUCAUUUGGUACCUACAUUUUUCAGUGGUAAAAAUCUGGGACAAAAGACAAAAUGGGAAAAAAUCUACGUGCACAAAUUGCAUUUGGCCUCCUCUAAGCUUAUGAGUGUAAAACUCUUUUUUAAUUAAUAUUCCAAGAGGCUCAUUUCUUUUAAAUGCAUGUCAUAUAAUUUGCCAAGAAAGAAAAAAUGGCAUAAAAAAAUUAACAUAUGCCAAAGCUUAAACAAAUACACUAUGUGAUUAAAAGGAACCGGUGAUAUAUAAUUGCUUUGAAAUCCCUGUGAAAGCUUCACUGUUAGGUUGAUUAGUUGCUCUCACUUAGUUGACAUAAUUUAAAGAAAACAAAAUCAAUUUCAAGGUUUAUGAAUUUCAGUUUGACCACAAUCAAACUGUAUAACAAAAAUCCAAUGAGACAACAAUAUUUUAAAGAAGAAAAAAAUGCAUCUUAUUACCACUCAUAAUGGAUGUACCAAUAAACUAGAAAAUAGAUCAUUAACAUUUAUUCUAAAGACAUUCAACAUCGAUUUUGAACCCGUGUUGAAACUAUCAUUAUUAAAAGUAUGUCAUUUUUUACAUUGGUUAUAAAAUUGAUGCUCAAAAUCACUUCCAAAACUAAUAUAAUAUAAUAGUAAAAAAUAUCGAUUUUAAUCAAAACUAAUAUUAUAAGUAUUAUAAAAUAUUGAUUUUGUUAAAACCGACGUUGUAUAGUGUAUACAUCAUUAGUUUUGACAAAACCAAUAUUUUACACUACUUACAACAUUGAUUUUUGCUAAAAUCGAUGUUAUUUUUGCUAUUAUACCACAUUAAUUUUGAUCAAAAUUAAUAUUGUACAAUAUUAUUUUUGAUAUAAUCGAUGUUGAUUAUGCAAAAAAAUAAAUAUAUUUUAUCUAUUUGUUAAAUAAAAUCAAACCUGCAAAUUAAAAACAAAACCCAUCUAAGCAUAUUAUAUAUAUAUAUAUAUAUAUAUAUAUAUAUAUAUAUAUAUAUAUAUAUAUAUAUAUAUAUAUAUAUAUAUAUAUAUAUAUAUAUAUAUAUAUAUAUAUAAAAUAAAGAAAUACUUAAAGGAUAUCAAACAAUGAUUUUUGGACCUCUAGUAAAGUACACUUAAAAAAAUUUCCUCUUUUUUUUACUACAUUAAAAAAUGCUUCAAAACAUACCAUCAAAGUUAAUAAAAGAUAAAUAUAACUCAGAAUAUAAUUCCAAAUAUAAUUUUUUUUUUUUUUUUGAGUUCAUCAAUCUUGUCAAACACGUAUAGUGUUUCUCUCUGUAAUGAAAGAGACAAAUAUAACUCCAAAUAUAACUCAGAAUAGAGAUGAGAUAAAAGAUGACUUGUGAGACUUACCUCAUGAGUUUCCCUUUAGAGACCGCUUCAAAUAUAACUCCAGUAUAAUAGUCAAGACCUUGGGUCAGACAUAUGUCAAAAACCACGUUAUCAAGGCGUUUUGAUUUAUCCAUAAGUUUAAAUAAAAUUUAUAGGUCAUUCAAUGCAUCAACGGAUCCAUCAUCUUUUAAGAAAGCACUGCCUUCUCUAAAUUUAGACAACAAUGCUAGAGGAGGUCCUUUUUCUUUGAUAUAAGUUUCAAUUUUGUCAGCAAUCUCAGCAAUUAAUCCUUUCUCUUCCUCCUACUGCAUGACAGUACAAAAACACAUCAUUAAACAUAACAUAUAUAUCAUGAUUACAAGACAACAACUUUCCGAUAUUACAGUAAUAGGGAAUAUUAUUGUCUCAAAUUUUAAUUGGUCAUACACAUAGAAAGAAACAAAAUCGUAAGUCUCAAAGACCUAAGGCAAUGAAUGUAGUGGAAUAUACUUGAACAGUUUUACGAACAUUUAAAUCAUGAAAUGCAAUUUCUUUUUUAUUUUAUCAAACAAUGUCUAAGUUUUGAAGCACCAAGUCUAAUCUAAUGUUAUUAAAUAAAAUAAUCCUUUGCAUUGAAGCACCAGAUCUUACCUCAUACAAACAAAUGAAUUAUAAGAAAGAAAGUCACAAUGGUGUCCUAGAAACCAUUAGAAUGAUAUGAAGAGUUCCUCAUUCUAACAGCAAGAGUCCAACGAAUAAUUUAAAGGCAAUAAUUACAGAGAACUUCACAAAAAUAUAAAUGUACAGGCAUCUUGCUUGGAUGCCAAUAAAUGAUAAAACACAACUUACACUAGUUUCUACAGUACAUAGAACAUUUUGCAGCCUCAGAUAACUGCAUCAAGACAAAUGAUAUAAGGUGCAAAAUAAUUGGUCAAGAUAAAAUGCAGAAAUAUAUAACAUAUUUACUAGCAUGGUUAUAGUCAUCACUCAACACAUUGUUACUAUAGACCAAAGACAACAUUAAACUUUGAACUAAUGAAAACAGUGGUAAAAAAUAGUUCAUUUGGUCAUCUAGGCAGGGCAGAAAAGAGACACACUGCCUCAGAAAACCCGAGGGAAGUAAGCCUGAUGAUGUGCCUAAUGGGACCAGAUCCUGUAAUUUCAGAUAACAUGCCAAUUUACCAUCGCUUAAGUACCCAUAGCCAAUGUAUCAAUAUGUGCAGGCUAGUUCAGAAAAACGGGGGCCCCUCUUUUUUUUCUUUUUUUUUUUUUUUUUCUUUUUUNNNNNNNNNNNNNNNNNNNNNNNNNNNNNNNNNNNNNNNNNNNNNNNNNNNNNNNNNNNNNNNNNNNNNNNNNNNNNNNNNNNNNNNNNNNNNNNNNNNNNNNNNNNNNNNNNNNNNNNNNNNNNNNNNNNNNNNNNNNNNNNNNNNNNNNNNNNNNNNNNNNNNNNNNNNNNNNNNNNNNNNNNNNNNNNNNNNNNNNNNNNNNNNNNNNNNNNNNNNNNNNNNNNNNNNNNNNNNNNNNNNNNNNNNNNNNNNNNNNNNNNNNNNNNNNNNNNNNNNNNNNNNNNNNNNNNNNNNNNNNNNNNNNNNNNNNNNNNNNNNNNNNNNNNNNNNNNNNNNNNNNNNNNNNNNNNNNNNNNNNNNNNNNNNNNNNNNNNNNNNNNNNNNNNNNNNNNNNNNNNNNNNNNNNNNNNNNNNNNNNNNNNNNNNNNNNNNNNNNNNNNNNNNNNNNNNNNNNNNNNNNNNNNNNNNNNNNNNNNNNNNNNNNNNNNNNNNNNNNNNNNNNNNNNNNNNNNNNNNNNNNNNNNNNNNNNNNNNNNNNNNNNNNNNNNNNNNNNNNNNNNNNNNNNNNNNNNNNNNNNNNNNNNNNNNNNNNNNNNNNNNNNNNNNNNNNNNNNNNNNNNNNNNNNNNNNNNNNNNNNNNNNNNNNNNNNNNNNNNNNNNNNNNNNNNNNNNNNNNNNNNNNNNNNNNNNNNNNNNNNNNNNNNNNNNNNNNNNNNNNNNNNNNNNNNNNNNNNNNNNNNNNNNNNNNNNNNNNNNNNNNNNNNNNNNNNNNNNNNNNNNNNNNNNNNNNNNNNNNNNNNNNNNNNNNNNNNNNNNNNNNNNNNNNNNNNNNNNNNNNNNNNNNNNNNNNNNNNNNNNNNNNNNNNNNNNNNNNNNNNNNNNNNNNNNNNNNNNNNNNNNNNNNNNNNNNNNNNNNNNNNNNNNNNNNNNNNNNNNNNNNNNNNNNNNNNNNNNNNNNNNNNNNNNNNNNNNNNNNNNNNNNNNNNNNNNNNNNNNNNNNNNNNNNNNNNNNNNNNNNNNNNNNNNNNNNNNNNNNNNNNNNNNNNNNNNNNNNNNNNNNNNNNNNNNNNNNNNNNNNNNNNNNNNNNNNNNNNNNNNNNNNNNNNNNNNNNNNNNNNNNNNNNNNNNNNNNNNNNNNNNNNNNNNNNNNNNNNNNNNNNNNNNNNNNNNNNNNNNNNNNNNNNNNNNNNNNNNNNNNNNNNNNNNNNNNNNNNNNNNNNNNNNNNNNNNNNNNNNNNNNNNNNNNNNNNNNNNNNNNNNNNNNNNNNNNNNNNNNNNNNNNNNNNNNNNNNNNNNNNNNNNNNNNNNNNNNNNNNNNNNNNNNNNNNNNNNNNNNNNNNNNNNNNNNNNNNNNNNNNNNNNNNNNNNNNNNNNNNNNNNNNNNNNNNNNNNNNNNNNNNNNNNNNNNNNNNNNNNNNNNNNNNNNNNNNNNNNNNNNNNNNNNNNNNNNNNNNNNNNNNNNNNNNNNNNNNNNNNNNNNNNNNNNNNNNNNNNNNNNNNNNNNNNNNNNNNNNNNNNNNNNNNNNNNNNNNNNNNNNNNNNNNNNNNNNNNNNNNNNNNNNNNNNNNNNNNNNNNNNNNNNNNNNNNNNNNNNNNNNNNNNNNNNNNNNNNNNNNNNNNNNNNNNNNNNNNNNNNNNNNNNNNNNNNNNNNNNNNNNNNNNNNNNNNNNNNNNNNNNNNNNNNNNNNNNNNNNNNNNNNNNNNNNNNNNNNNNNNNNNNNNNNNNNNNNNNNNNNNNNNNNNNNNNNNNNNNNNNNNNNNNNNNNNNNNNNNNNNNNNNNNNNNNNNNNNNNNNNNNNNNNNNNNNNNNNNNNNNNNNNNNNNNNNNNNNNNNNNNNNNNNNNNNNNNNNNNNNNNNNNNNNNNNNNNNNNNNNNNNNNNNNNNNNNNNNNNNNNNNNNNNNNNNNNNNNNNNNNNNNNNNNNNNNNNNNNNNNNNNNNNNNNNNNNNNNNNNNNNNNNNNNNNNNNNNNNNNNNNNNNNNNNNNNNNNNNNNNNNNNNNNNNNNNNNNNNNNNNNNNNNNNNNNNNNNNNNNNNNNNNNNNNNNNNNNNNNNNNNNNNNNNNNNNNNNNNNNNNNNNNNNNNNNNNNNNNNNNNNNNNNNNNNNNNNNNNNNNNNNNNNNNNNNNNNNNNNNNNNNNNNNNNNNNNNNNNNNNNNNNNNNNNNNNNNNNNNNNNNNNNNNNNNNNNNNNNNNNNNNNNNNNNNNNNNNNNNNNNNNNNNNNNNNNNNNNNNNNNNNNNNNNNNNNNNNNNNNNNNNNNNNNNNNNNNNNNNNNNNNNNNNNNNNNNNNNNNNNNNNNNNNNNNNNNNNNNNNUCCCUACAACAUUUUCUUGUGCAUGAUAUGCUUAACUGAAGCACUGGCUCUGGCAAAUAUUAGUUAGUUGAAAUUCGUGUAACAUAAAUUUAUGAAAAUAAUCAUUAGAAAAAAAAUAAAAGAAUAGAAAAAAAAACCGUCUCUAGAUCUGCCUUUGCUUGUUCACGAUCACAGUACUCGGCCCAUUCUCAUACACAUAUGCAUUGUUUUUUUUUUCAUAUAAGAGGCAACCUUAUAAGGUUAAUUGUAGUCUAUGCUUAUCACUAGCUACUUUGCCACCAACAUUUCAGUAGUUUUGCUAAGCUCAUGACCACCUACACAUGAUAAGGAAGAAAAAUAACUGAGUAUUAAAAAAUUGUCCAUCAUGACUCUAAAGGGAAAGAAAAACAAAACACAGCUUUCUGCUUCAAACUGAGUAUUAGAAGUUCCAUUAGUAGGAUCGUUUCACCUUAUGAGAUUUAAUUCUCUGGAUCUCAUCCUGUAGUCGUUUUGCAGCCUCGUCACUUUUGGUUUUGUCUCAAUAGUUGAGACUGAGAUUCUUGUUUCUAAAGAUGUGUUAUCAAUCAAGAAAACAAUAAUAUUUGCAUUUCAAUUUUUUUUAUCAUGUUCAUACUUAUAUAAAAAAUAGAAAAAAGCAUAUUUUUUAUCUUACCAUCUAAAAUUAUAAAAUAAUGAAUAUUUUUUAUUGUAAAAAUAUAUCGUUACUAAAUAUAUACAAUGUAUAUUUUAUUUUAUAUUAAAAAAAUCUUUCACUUUUCACAUGACACAUACUUAUUUAUAUAUAUAUAUAUAUAUAUAUAUAUAUAUAUAUAUAUAUAUAUAUAUAUAUAUAUAUAUAUAUAUAUUCCAAAAGAAACAAAGACAAGUACUUAAAAUUUAUAAUAUCUCAUACAACAUAUUCAAUCAACUGAAUUAUACUCAUUGAUAUAGUUACACAGAUACAUACAUGAGUGUUAAAUUUAGAAUUUAAUUAAUUAAAAUCUCUCUAAUAUAUCUCCAUUGUUAAAGAAAAAGUGUUUUGUAUAAGAGUAAUAUAUCCACAAACUUAUAAGUUCCUACCACAAGCAUAUAACGAAAUAAGAAUCAAACUGUCAUUAAUGGUGUAUUACUGAAUCACAAGGUUUAAAAACUUUAUUCAUGACUACACACAAAAGACGGGAGUUAUGUAGUCAUGUGUUUACACAUUAAGAGAGACAUACUCAUCCAAGGCAAUUAAACAGUAGAAUAAAAUAAAAUAAAAUAACAUGUUAAGAACAUCAUGCAAUUAAAAUAAAAAUUCAUGACCUCAAUGUCACGUCCUAUUAGAGCAUGGUGUCUUGACGUCCCCCUGCACAAGAUUUCUUAAGGCAAUCCACUUAGUCAUCUUCUCUCACGAACACAAAGUUCAAGAUCAUCACAUGAUACAAAUACAAACAACACAUAGAAAGUGAGUUAUCACAUUCUUAAACAUGUAGAGAUAAAUGAAAACACAUAUAUCAUAUAAUAUAAGUAUAAGAAGCUCAACUUAACACAACUCGCAUCAUUUUACCACUCAUUAUAUAAUGUCACUUGUCCCCAAGGAUUUAAUCACAAAUCACAUUCCACACUUUCACAUUAAUCACAUGUUUAGAACGACACAUCUCUGAUACAACACAAUAUCUUAAACUCACACAAUUCAUUACCCACCAUUACGUAACAACUUAUAAUGAUCAUUACAUAAGCGUUAUGUAACAGAUAUACUAAGACUUAAUCAUAUAUGUAAUGUGGUACCAUAUCAGUGAAAAAUAACAGUAAGGUGCCUAGAAGUACAUAACAAGAGACACCACACAAUGAGUUUGUCAAGUAACUCUCACUAAGUGAAAUCGUAAGGUGACCAAUCAAGGUUCCUCUGUUUUACGAGAAUGCUCUAAUCAUAUAGGAUUAAUAUAAGCUUAAAGAAGCACUCAAAUCGAGUGUAUUUACCCUCAAGAUUUAGACUCUGAAGAAUUCAUUAGGGUCUUACCUUUCUGAUUUAGGUUCAACCCCUAAAAUAAAUUUUGCAUGCAAAUACUACUCGUGAAUUAUGUAAUACCCACGGUCUCACACUUACUUUCAAAACACAUUUAACACAAUGCAUUACAAUUUAACUCCUCAGGUUCUUAAUUUGGAACCGUACACUCUUCCUUUAACACCUCACGCAUUGCACUAUAAUUUAACACCUCAAGUUCCUAAUUUAAAAUCCCUAUACUUCCCUUUUAACACCCUUCACAUUGCGCUACAAUUUAACACUAAAAUUUAUAAUGUAUACUUAAUGCAUAUAUAAAUUUAAGUUAUAAAUUUAGUGACAAUUAAAUUUGAUCUAAUAAUUAAUUUUUUUACAUAUAUGAAUUAUUGUAAAUAAAACUUAUGAUUUUUAUUUAAAAUUUAUAUAUAUAUAUAUAUAUAUAUAUAUAUAUAUAAAUACAUUAGUAUAUUUAUGUUAGUAAUGUAUUUUUUACAUAUAUAAAUUUUAUUAAACCUACGAUUUUUAUUUACAAUUUAUAUAUGUAAAUAAAUUAAUUAUUAGAUCAAAAUUAAUUAUCACAAAAUUUAUUAUGUAAAUUUACAUGUGCAUUAAAUAUAUAUUAAAAGUUUUAGUGUUAUAUAUAACGACAUUAAUUAUUUUAUAACAUAAUUGACUUAUUAACUCAGUUGGUUAGAGUGUCGUGCUAAUAACGUGAAAAUCAUAGGUUCAAUUUCUGCCUAGACAAUUAAUUUUAAAUUAAUUUGUAAAAUAUAUCUUUUAAAAAAUUAAUAAAAAAAUUGUAUGAACCACUUACGAAUUGGACAAUCCAUAAGCCUAUUACGGAUCUGUAAUUGAUUUAUGAAUUGUGAAUUCGUAAACCAAUUAUGGAUGUAUCAGAAAAACAAAUGGUGCGCGUAGCAAAUCUGAAACCAAUAAUGUUUUGUGUUGGACUUUUAUGAAAUUUCUUAUAUUUAGGGUUUUUUAAUUGUAAUCCAUAGCCCUAGUAUAUCAACACACUUUCGUAUGAACUAGGGUUAUCAGAAAUUAAAUGUAGAAGCAGUUUUCUUUAAGCUUUCCUUUAUCAUCCACUUGCAAUUUAUCUUUCUUAGUCUAGUUAGCAGAAGAGUCUAUCAAUCUAAAUGUGAAAUGCUAUUCAGUUAUCUAAGACUGGACCACUUUAGAAGAUAAGAACGAAACAUCGUAGUUCUAAAAAUGCAUUAUUAUGCCGUCAUAUGGAAAGGUGAUUCUCACAAAAUGUUUCUCAUGCUGGUGUUGGUCAGCAUAACACAUUUUAUCUUUAAGCUUUCCUUUAUCGUCCCCUUUCAAUUUAUCUUUCUUAGUCUAGUUAGCAGCAAAGUCUAUCAGUCUAAAUGUGAAAUGCUAUUCAGUUAUCUAAGACUGGACCACUUUAGAAGAUAAGAACGAAACAUCGUAGUUCUAAAAAUGCAUUAUUAUGGCGUCAUAUGUAAAGGUGAUUCUCACAAAAUGUUUCUCAUGCUGGUGUUGGUCAGCAUAACACAUUUUAUCUUUAAGCUUUCCUUUAUCGUCCCCUUGCAAUUUAUCUUUCUUAGUCUAGUUAGCAGCAGAGUCUAUCAAUCUAAAUGUGAAAUGCUAUUCAGUUAUCUAAGACUGGACCACUUUAGAAGAUAAGAACGAAACAUCGUAGUUCUAAAAAUGCAUUAUUAUGGCGUCAUAUGUAAAGGUGAUUCUCACAAAAUGUUUCUUAUGUGGGUGUUGGUCAGCAUAACACAUUUUUCUUCUAGAACACAUGAUAUCUAGGCAAUUCUAUCAUGAGCAUAAUGCUUUACGUAAAACAGCCAAUCAAAAAUUCAAGAUAAAAUUGAAAUAAUUUCAGUUCAAGCUUCCUUCUAAGUAGUUCAUGCAUUUUCCUUUUCUUUGCUGACUUGUCGUUAAUUUUUAAUUAAUUGAAGGAAAGGGAACAAUUGAUUUGAAUUAUUAUAUUUUCUGAAACAAAAAACAACACUAUAUUUAAUUUGUUUCCUUUAUUUUAAUAGGAAAAAAAAUAAAGCUUACAAAUGUUAUCAUUAAUUUGGUUAAGGUAUCUAAAUUUCAGAAACCCAGAAAACUAAAACAAAAUGACCUAAAAUAUAUAUAAAAAAAAAAGAUACAAUAGAAAAAUAGAAAGGAACAAUUAAAACUCAAGCAUGUUUAUUAAGUUCAAUCUUUCAGCUAUAUAUAAGUGAGAAUGUAGAGCUAAUCCAUUGAAGAUGAGCUUCCCAUUACCAGCUCAUUGGCAACCUGCUCCAUGGUAGGGCGAGAUCGUGGACUUUCAGUCAAGCAGGCCAUUGCUAUCUUUGCAAUUGAUGCCACUUCCUUACCAAUUGGCUUUGUUGGAUGAGGGAGACGUGGGUCCAACUUAUCCAUCAAUGCCAUGUGAUCGAGUGUUGAGGCCACAAGAGUAGAUGGAGAUGAUCCCAAUAAAGAAGAUAUAUCAUCACCAGGGUGCUUCCCAACAAGUAUUUCCCAUGCUAGGACCCCAAAACUAUACACGUCACAUUUCUCAUUCACCUCCAUUGUGUAUGCAAGUUCUGUAAACAAAAUAAAAGUGCUAUCAUACGCGAAAUAGGAUUCUAGUGACAAAGGCAAAAUGUGGACAAUUGUGACUAAGAAAGGCAAACUAAAAAAUAUGAUAUCCUCAGCAUAUCCAAAGGUAAUUAACCUGGAGCAGCAUAUCCAAAGGUAAUUAACCUGGAGCAGCAUAUCCAAAGGUUCCUACGAAUGAGGUCCAAUUGGAUGAAUCUGGAUUAAGAAAAUUGGCUGUUCCAAAGUCUGAGACAUGAGCUACAUAUUCGGAAUCCAAAAGAACAUUCUUGCUUGAUAUAUCACGAUGAACAAUUCGAGGUGAGCAUUCAUGGUGCAUAUAGCACAAAGCAUUUGCUACAUCUUUAACAACAUUCACCCUCUUAUACCAAUCAAAUGCCAUUGCUUGUCCAUCAUCCUUCAGAGUCUUCUCAACACUGCCAUUCUCCAGGAAUUCACACACCAAAAAUGAGAAUUGUGAAUGUGAACAAAACCCAUAUAACUUUACAAUGUUACGAUGUCGAAUUUAUGUCAAAGCUUGGAUCUCACAUGUGAAAGCUUUCAGAUUGAGCAUCGCUCCAUUUGGAACUGAAUGGAGUUUCUUUACAGCAACAACUUGACCUGCAGGGAGCACUGCUUUGUAAACACAUCCUUGUCCUCCAACACCAAUGAGAUGUUUGUUGUCUAAAUAUUCUGUGGCUUCAAUAAUAUUCUCGAAUACCAUUUUGCCAUCAAAAUUCCAUAUUGCAAAUAUGUUUGGAGUUUGUAUAUUUGUAGCCUGGUCUUCUUUUUUCGUUGAGGUUUGGCAUAAAUGAUACGAGACUCCGAAAGCAAAUAAUGCCAGUAUUAGAAUACCCAAAGUAAGGGGUAAAAUUACUAUUAUUAUUUUCUUCCUCAUAUGAUUAUGAGAUUUCCCACUUGAUGUUGAGCAAGGCUCCAAGCCAGUGACAUUGCCACACAAACCUUUAUUAUUUCUCAAUGCUUCAAUUUUAGCAUUGUGGAAGGCUAGAAUGUUUGGAAGUGGACCCUCAAACUGGUUGUAUGAUAUAUCAAUAGAUGUCAAGCUGGUCAUAUCAUCGAAGCUAGAGAGAUUACCUGAAAGAUUAUUGUGAGAGAGAUUCAGUGUUUCUAAGCUUUUUAAUUCUCCAAACAUUGAAGGUAUUGCUCCUCUCAAUGAAUUUUCACCAAGAUCAAGACUCGUAAGAAAUUUCAGUUUGCCAAGCUCUGAAGGAAUAUUUCCCUGAAAAUUAUUUUGGCUCAGACUCAUGUUCAAUAAAUUGAGCAAAUUUCCUAGUUGUUUUGGGAUUAAGCCAGACAACUUAUUUGAUCCAAGCUUCAAAAUUUGAAGUUUCUGCAUUGAUGCUAUUUCUUCAAAAUUUGAAGUUUCUGCAUUGAUGCUAUUUUGGCUCAGACUCAUGUUCAAUUCGAUGUAGUCCAAAUUUGGAAGUACACCAAAAGCAUCUGUUAUAUCCCCAGUUAGCUGGUUUCGCUGAAGCCUGACUCUUAUAAGGCUGGAGCAAUUCUUCAAACUCACCGGAAUUGGGCCUAUGAAGUUGUUAUUUUCAGCGGCAAAAUUUUUCAACGUUCCACCAAUGCAAAUGUUUUGAGGUAAAUGGCCUAUAAAAUUAUUGCCAGCUAGCUGCAAACUUUCCAGAGCAGUAAGCAUGCUCAGUUCUAUUGGAAUCUUGCCACCAAGUUCAUUUCCAAUAAAUCUUAAUGUCCUGACUUUUGAUAAAUUUCCAAUAGUGGAAGGAAUUGAUCCAGUGAGUUCAUUAAAGGAUAUAGAUAAUACACUAAGCUUUGACAAAUUUCCAAUGGUGAAAGGAAUGGACCCAGAGAGUUUAUUUUCAUGAAGGCGAAUGUCGUCCAAAUUGACCAAGUUGCCUAUGGAAGCUGGGAUUGGUCCAGUGAGUUCAUUAAAGGAUAUAGAUAAUACACUAAGCUUUGACAAAUUUCCAAUGGUGAAAGGAAUGGUACCAGAGAGAUCAUUGUCAGAAAGAUUAAGAAACAAGAGUUUGGAGAGAUUACCAAUGGUAUUGGGAAUGCUACCAAAGAGGUUAUUAAUGGACAAGUCAAGAGUGUUGAGAUUGGAUAAGGAACCAAUUUGAGGAGGAAUAGUUCCAUUCAAGGAGUUGUGACUCAUAUUUAGAGUGAAAAUGUUUGGAAGUAAUGAGAAGUUGAGACUUUGAAGCGUACCUCUUAAUCCAACAUUUGUAAGAUUUAUGUUGGAAACAGAACAGAACUCAUCACAUGCAAUUCCGAACCAAUUGCAAGGAUUAUUGCCACUCCAUGAAGAGAGAGAAGCAUGACUUUGGUUUUCAAGGCUGGAUUUCCACUUCAACAAAGCAUUUGCUUCUGAAGCAAUCUCAGAAGAAGCAGCAAAUGCACAGAAGUACAUCACAAGAAGCAGCAAAAGUGGUUGGAGCUUCAUGGACAGAAGCGUUGGAAAUAUGAACACCAUGAGGAAAUUUUGAGGAAGGAUUCAAUCACAGAUUGUCUGAUACAAUCAAAUGCAGGAGAAGUACUUACAAGCAAUUCAUGGGAUAUGCACACUUAAAUGCAAAACAUCGUGAACCACGAACCAGAGUCAAGAGAUAUUAUAUAACUAAUUUAUGGGAUAUUAUCCUUGAGAAACUUUAAAUAAAAUAUUUAUAACUAAUUUUUAUUUCUAAUGAACAUAAUAGGACCUUUUUCAGGGCAACAUAAUAGAACUUUAAAUUAAAUAUAAUUAUUAUUUUCUGGCAUUGUGAUUAUGGGAUCUUAAUAAUAAGCUUUAUAUAUUAUAUGUCUUAAAAAUUGCUGCUAAAAAUAUAUAUAAGUUUUAUAAAAAAAUUAAUGUAAUAAAGUUAUGUAUUAUUAAAUAUAUAUAUAUAAUUUAGAAAAAAAUAUUAAUUUUUUGCAGUCCCUUAUACAUUUUAAUUAUAUUAAAUCAUUUAAAUGUUAUAAUAUUGAAAACUAAUUAGGAUGAAGACUGAAGAGAAGCGACAAAUUCAUAAUAAUUCAUAAUAUGGAAGCAAUUAAAUUGAGAAAGACAAUAUCAAACAAGACAGCCGAUCAGUGGGGUCAAUAUAUGUCUAGCUUGGUAUGUUGCACGCGUUUACUUUACAACACUGUUUCUGUUUGCAAUCAGAAAUUUCCAUAGUGUUAUGCAUGGGUAAAUUUCAAACUUCCACAUAACCAUUCCUGUAAAACUGUAUUUUUUUUUACAACUGUUUUAAUUAGAAUAUAAAAGAAAUUUAAUUUAAUUUAUGCUAUAAAUCAUUGAAUUUUAAAAAUAUAAUAAGUUUAAUUAUGUGUUUUAGAUGAGCUUAGUUGUUUCUUUUGUAGAUGAGUGUAAUUAAGAGUUGCAUUUUUGAUACGAGGGGAGGGGAGUUACUAUAUAUCCCAUGUAAAUUGUUAUUGGUUCCUAGCUAUCAAGAGGUUGAGAGUUUUUUAUUUAUUUUAGAAUUACUCUCGUUGAAUAAAAUAUACAUUAUGAUUGCAUUAUGCAUUGUUUUUACACCAUUUUGUUGCAACGGAUAUGUUGCACAAUAAUUUUUAUAUGUCUAUUAUGAUUGUGAAGUCCUUGUGAUCUAUCAUCUUUUUAAAUUUUACUAAUAAAAAAAAUACGACUUCACACUAUCAUUAUCUCAACACCAAUCAAGAAAUUGAUAAAAUAUUAUAAAAAUAUAUUAAUAAUAUUUAUUUAUAUUUGAUGAUAUUUCUUAAAUGUGACCAAAAAAAUUUAGUAAUAUUUUACUAAAUGUUAAAUAAAAAAUAUUACUAACUUUCAUUGUGUAGUAGUGAAUUAUAUUUUAGAUUAUUAUAAUUAACAGUAUAACUUAUACAAUUAAUUAUUAUAAAUAUAUAUUAUAUAUUUAAAAUAUAUUUUAAUUAUUAUUUUAGAAAAUUAGUAUUCUAAAAGAAUAAUUACAAGUGAUAUACGUAUAUAUAAGUAAAAUCAAAUUAAAUACAAAUAUUAAGGUAGUAUUUAGUUAGUGUUAUUAAUCAUAUUUAUAUAAAUAUUUAAAUAAUCUAGUAUUUUUCUAAUAUAAUAUUCAUUAUUAUAUUUGUUAAAAAUCAUACAUGAUAAAUUUUAAUAAUAUUAUUAAAUAUAAUAUGUUGAUUGAAUUUAAUAAAUGUAAUGAUAAUAUAUGGAUAUUAGACAUUCAAAUUAUUAAAUAAAUUUAUUUAUAUAAAAAUUAUUAUUAAAUAAAAUGAAAUCACUAAAAUAUAUAUUUUAAAAUCUUAUAAAGAAUAUUUUUUUAGUACGUUGCGUUAAUCCUAAAUGUUUAUAUCUAGGAGAAGGAUUUAUUUAAUAAAAAAACUUAUAUUUGAUUUGUUUCAUGUGUAAAUUUUUUUAUUUCAAUGACAAACACCAAUACUAAAUAAAAUUUGUCUCGGACGGAGUAAGUAGAGGAAAUCCGUGUUCUUUGAACGGAUAAAAAUAGUAUAUUAAAUUAUAUAUUUUAUCAUAAGGGAUGAGCUGCGAAAGUACAAUACUUCCUAUCUAUUAAAACAGAAAAGUAUCUACCUCAAAAAUAUCUUUUAAGAAUAUAUAAGAAAGCUUACAACAAAAUAUGUUGAAUCAAAAGAUCUUUUAUUAUUUUAUCGACAGAAAAAAUAUCUUUUUUAUUCUUCAGCUUGUAAAAUUUUCUUUGAAAAUAUGUUCCCUAAAUAAUGAUUGGACAAUUAUGUUCUCAAAAAUUUCAAAAUAACAAAGAAUGUCUUUCUCAUUUUUUAAAUCCUCAAAAAUUUUCUCUCUUAUUCCUCGGAACGUGCCUUGCCUUCCUCAAAAUUUCUGUGUAUAGUGUAAUAUUUACAUAAGAAGAAAGAAUGAAGUAUAAUACCUGCCUUUGUAAAGGGAAAGAUACAAAAAAAAAAAAAAAGAUAAAACAAAGGAAGACUACGAACGCAGAUAUAAGAAAACCCAUGGAUGUGCACUGCAUCCAGGACCAGCCCCUAAUAAGUAAUAACCCUUAGGGAGGGUUAUAUGAUCACGAUUUGAUUUGAUAUGCUUCUAGAUUAACUACUCAAAUGAAAAAUAUUGAAUUUCCUUCCUAUUUUUUAAAAAUAUAUAUCAAUGUAUUUACUACCACCUCCUCUAAGAUGCAAAUAUUUCACUGCACUCCCUUCUUGUGUCAAAAUACAUACUUCAUCCCUUAACUAAUGUGCGCUUAUAUAUAUAUAUAUAUAUAUAUAUAUAUAUUUCGUUUUUAAAAUGUUUAAUUAAUUUUUUUAAAACAAUUAUAAAAUUUUAAUGUCUGAAUACACACACUUAGUAAAUCAACGCUCUAAAUCCGUAGAAGGUCAUGCUCACCCAAUACUAUCCAUGCUGACCCAGCAUGGCCCGUGUUGGCCUUUAUGUUGUAGCUUAUUUUAAACAUUAUAAAUAGAAAUGUAAAAGGUAUUUUUAGGUUAUGCUUUAUUUUUAUUUACAAAUAGAAACAUCUUUUGAGAAGAGAAUUACACCAGAAAUAAUUGGGCGAUCCGAAUCUGUUAGUAUUUUUAAUCUCUUUUAUUUUUUAUGUAAUAUUAUAUGUUGUUUAACUAUUAUGUGGUCAUAAUUGGCCAAACUCCUUAGAACUUGGAUUCUGAUGUGGCUAUACUCAUUUAUUUUAAUUUCUCUUUUUAAUAAAGUUCUUCGAAAUUAUUUAAUUAAUUGUAUCUUUCUAUUGCUUUCACUUCUAUAUUGAAAUCAUUCUGAUUAUUAGUUCAUUAUGUGUUUAUGGUCAUCUUCUCAUAAUUAACUGACCUAUAGAAUGAAAUGGUUCAUAAAGCUUGAAUGAUCAAACUGGUGGCAUGGAUCCCUUUUUUUUUUUUACAAACUUCUAUAUUAUUUGUCUUUAACCAUAAAUUAAAUUUGAAAUGACUAAUGCAUGAUUAAUUUUGGGGAGAGAGUAUUCUCAUACCUUAACCAUAAGUUGACAAUUAAAAUAAGAGAUAUUAGACGAUUAAUCGAUAACUUAGAGUUCUUAAUUAAAAUAGGAAUUAAGAAAAAACGAUACAUGCGAAAUCAUAAUAUGAGUCACUCCUUUUCAUACAUAUCUUUUCUUCAAAUUGUUGUUUGUUUUUAAUUUUAUUUUCUUGAAUGCAAAUGCAAAUCAUCCCCAACUUAAGAUAAAAACUCAAAAUUAUUUAUUUUAUCCGAUUUAGAUUAUUUGGAAACACAACUACAUUAUGCAAUAUGAAAUCCAAACUUUCAGUUUAUGGUACACUUAGCAUUAGUAAAUCCAUAUUUUACACAUUAGUAAUUAAGUAUGUUUUCAUUAUUCCUUUUCAAUUUUAAUUAUUGUUAUUAAGAUCAGAAUGUACCAUUUGAAUCUAUUUUUCUAAGGAAACUACUAUUGGCCCUUACACAUUGCUUUUGGACCCUACUCCCCCCUUCAAAAUACUCAUAUGCCCAUAUUGGGCAUUAACUACUUUUUUUUUUAAUUAUUAUCCAAUUUGAUCCCUCUUUUUUGUGAUAUUCAUUCAUUAUGAUCUUUUCGUUUGACAUCAUUUGUGUCAAUUUAGACAAAGGAGUAAUAUGAGCAUUUUUGUUUUAGAAAUCAAAUUCAACAUUUUAAAAAUAGACAGAUCAUUAUGAAUAAUAAAUAAAAAAAAGACCAAAAGAAUAAUUUAAACUAAAAAUAAGGAUAAAAAGAAAAAAAGAAUUGAAAUGAAUGAAAUGGAUCAUGCGUAAAAUUAAACAUAUGAAUAUUUACUUAAAUCACAUUAGUCAACAUUUAAAAUAUCAUAUAUGUUUCUCAUUUUAAAUAAAUUAUUUCUCUUAAAAUUUAUUUUAGAUCUCAUUUGUUAUUGGACCGACUCAUAUCUCUACAUUUUCUACCACGGCAAAGCUAGCUCCAGCCAUUGCCAAAUGAUUUGAAGUCUCACCUCUUAAAUGAAUAGAAACUUUUCGCCAGAAUUAAACUCCACAUACUUUCUGGAAGUCUUUUGUACAGAGUCAAUUUCCAAAACGGUGAUGUCUAGUUAAAGGCUAAUAGUAGUACUAUGUAUGCUGUGGAUCCUGUCAUGUAUGUCACAUUCAUUGACUUUGCAUAAAAGAGAGAGAGAGAGCAAGUUAAUUAACAUUAUUUUACUGUCUUUCAUUAUAUAUUACAUCUGGAGAAUUUGCUGGUGGAUGCUGAUGGAGAGCUUAAAGUAUCAGAUUCUGCAUUGAGUGUUCUGCCUCAACAAUAAUUUGGGUUUUCCAAAUUAUUCUCGCAAGAGGUCUGGACCUAUUUUUUUUAUGAUCUCUCGAUAAAAAGAUUCAUUCUCUUCGUAAAAAAGAGGAUGUAGAAUCAAUAAAGAGUAAUUUUUCAAUUCAUCCCUCGAGUUGAAUAACUCAUUCAAGAAAUAUUUUUGAACCAAUCCGAAGGAAUCAAUAGAAAAAGCAAAUUCCUUAUAAUACACCAGAUCCGGCUGGACUAUUGAUAGAGUGAAUAGAUCUGUCAUUUCUUGAAAUAUCUCUUCUGAUUCAAAAUCGUAAUGGAUCGUGUAUCUCCCACUGUUUCGGUUAUGAAAUAGAUGAAAUAAAUCCCAAUAUGAAUUUUUGUUCAAGAAUAAAAUCUUAUUGGAACUGUCCAGUUCACUCUUUGAAACUAGCAUGCUGGCUAAUUUUUUCAAAAAAUUAAAAGGACAUUUAUGUCCAAUUUGGCAAGUUAGAGGCUGCUUCUCACAAGAUAUGUUUCGCAACAUUAUAUGGCCUCACAGGUAUUUUAGCAUUUGCUGCUGCUAUAAUCAUAUCUUUUAUCUCUCACACUCCAAUAAGAUUACUGCUUUCAUUUAUCAUAUAUAUAGGUGAUACUACGAGGGUGCAAGGACUGAUCUAUUCUAUGGUCCUGUAGUAUUUUUCUUUUUGUUCUAAUGGCUGGUUAUUUGGAUUUCAAUGACAAUAACAUAAAGAAAAGUGGGGUAUUUUAUGAGUAUUCUAGCUCUCUUAAUAUAUGGAGUGGUCUUUUUUCCUAGCAUGAUUGACUGGAUUCAUCUCACAUUAGUUGAUGCAUUCUUAGUCUAUUAUUAUCGACGGGAAAGUCAUGUGGUUGCUUAAGAGUAACACAAAAAUUGAAAUAGAUAAAAUCAUAUGAACUUUAAACAGUAAUGAAUUAAUAAUAUAUGAGCAAAGGUCUAAAAUUCAGUUAUUUAAGACUAGAGCACUUUAGUAAAUAAGACCCAACAUCGUAGUUCUAAAAAUGCAUUAUUAUGGCGUCAUAUGUAAAGGUGAUUCUCACAAAAUGUUUCUUAUGCUGGUGUUGGUUGUAGCAUCCUAUUUCUCAUAAACUAAUUUAAAAAAUAUUGUUAUUUGUAACAUAAAUAGAGUUUUAUCAAAAAUGAUAAGUUUUCAUACAUUAACUACCUAAGACGAAAUAACUUUAUUAAUUAAAAUAAUGGUUUAGAGACAACUACAACAGGGUAUUAUAUUUAUUCAUUUGAUAGUGAAUAAAAUAGAGUUCAUUUUUAUAAAAUAAUAUAAAUAAAUACCUAAAUAAAGUACAUAAUACGUUGUGAGUACCCUAGCUAUAAAUAGAGAAAUGAUAGGUCAGUUUUCAGACUGACGAUAGCUUUUCAACCUCCUCUUUNNNNNNNNNNNNNNNNNNNNNNNNNNNNNNNNNNNNNNNNNNNNNNNNNNNNNNNNNNNNNNNNNNNNNNNNNNNNNNNNNNNNNNNNNNNNNNNNNNNNNNNNNNNNNNNNNNNNNNNNNNNNNNNNNNNNNNNNNNNNNNNNNNNNNNNNNNNNNNNNNNNNNNNNNNNNNNNNNNNCCCUUUCUUCUCACAAAAUCUCUCUUUCCCGCAUACCACCAAACCUAUCUCAGAAAAACGACGAUAUCAGACUCAUUCACCGUUGGAUAGUCGUGAAAUUUAAGAACCAGGUUUGCAACUCAAUUCUAAGCAUUCUCACCAUUGGGAAUUAUGAAAACAUAUCAGAGCUGAGAGUAAUACCCUUGGCAUUGUAACUUUUCUUUUCCCCCAGAAAUCCAGAGCUAUCUCGGUAAAACUACGAUCCCGAACUUUUUAACCGUUGGGUUGUUGUCAGAUUUUUAUAUGUGGUUUGCGAUUCAUUUCUACACGUUUUCACCAUUGAGAUUUUCAAAAUAAUGUCUGUUGAGGGAGAAAGAUGCAUCGCAUGUAGGACCAUAGAAUGGAGGCUUCAUUCCCUUCUCCUUCUGUCUAACGUUUGGAAACCAGAGGAGGAGCUCUAGAGAGCACCAGAAAUGCCACAAUUGAUAACGGAGAACGCUUGAGCGAUUACAUCGAGGUAAGAAAUGAGUUAUUCACAAAUGGGGAUUAGUGAGAACAUGUGUAGGGAUCCUUAGAGUAUCAAUUAGAAUGAGUUUUGAGGUGUUUCUACAAUUUUUAUUUUAUCCUUAUAGUUAUAACUGUGAAUUAUAUAUGUUUGAUGAAUCAGUUGAUGUCCCAAUGAAAAACUACUGUGAAAUUGAUGUGUUCUUGUGUUGAGUGUGAAUCCUAUAAAUUGAACCUUUUUCUAAUUAGCGUUGUUAGCUCUUUGGCAAGUGUACCAAAUCGCUCGUAGUAUUAAUCUCUUGGUAAACCGAGUGUCGUACCCCAGGGAUUUUGUUGCACUUAUGUGAAGUACUUUUCAGUUUGCAAAUUGUAAAUUUAGUGUAUGCAAUUUAAAUCUAGCAAGAGAUAAGAAAUUUAAAAUAAAAGAUAAAGAAAAAUAAUAGAUAAGAUAAAGAAAAGAUAAAAGAUUUAUAGAUAAGGAUAAAGAAAAAUAAUUAAAAUCUAAGUAACUACUUCUAAAAGAAAACUAACGCAAUAAAUAAAGAAUAAGUCUAUAAAAUAUUACUAACUCUAAUAAGCCUAAAUACCUACUCCUAAAUAAAAUAGGGGAUAACUACUUCUAAUAAAACCAAACAGUAAAAUAAGGAAUAACUAUUUCUAAGAAAACCAAACAAUAAAAUACGAAACAAUAAAAUAAGACUUAAAAUCUAUAUAAUAAAAUUGCUAAAACCUAACAAGUCUAAUCAGCCUAGAUAUAUGGAUUCAGGAUUUGUUUGUUAUCAAUACCAGUGAACUGAUUCUGCCCCACAUCUAUCCAUCUACUUGCCUCUGAUGCCUCAUGAUGACAAGCCUACCUUAAUUACCUAUCUUCCAAAUGCCCUUUGCGAAGACUCAAUAACUAAGAUGCAUUAAGAUUAAAUUCUAGAUGUUUGCUAAAGCAUGGGCAUCGGGUCAAUGCUAACCCUAUGAUUUCUUUCUUUUAUUGUUCUAUUAAGCGUUACCCUCUCCCGAGUGGACUAACCCUUAAAACAGAUUCACGCAUUCAUUCCUUACCCCUAAUUAGGCUUUACCCUCUCCCGAGUAGACUAAAGACUAACAGAAAAUAAAGACUGAGAUGCAUAAUAAAUAAGAAAGAAAAGCAUAUAAAAGAACCUGGAAGGAAAACCCUCUAAUGAUAACCCGAUGAUUUCUUCCUUUUAUUGUUCUAUUAAGCGUUACACUCUCCCGAGUGGCCUAACCCUUAAAACAGAUUUACGCAUUCAUUCCUUACCCCUAAUUAGGCUUUACCCUCUCCCGAGUGGACUAAACCCUAACAGAAAAUAAGGUCCGAGAUACAGAAUAAAUAAGAAAGAACGGUAAAUAAUAAGAACCUGGAAGGAAAUUCUCUUUUUAUUGAUAACUCUUGAAAUGAUCCAUACAUCAUUGACUUUUUAGGCCUGCCAGGCCCUAACUAGGGGGUUUAGCCACUCAUAGUCAUGAGGGUUUUACAAUGAGAAGGGGGUGAAAGAAAGUAAUAAGAAUAUAAGAAAAAGGAAGGAAAAGGAGAGAACUGAGUGCCAGAAGUCUGAAAAUUGAGCUCUGAGGAAGUGUGUUCAUUUUCCUAGGCUGACCCUCUUAUUUAUAGGUGCAAACUUGGGCUUGGGUCUUCGCAGUCUCGCUGAGCGCGAAGCCUCGUGCUCAGCGCCACGUCGCGCUCAGCGCAUGUCGUGCACUUAACGCCUUGCCUUCUUGCGCGUUGGGCGCGUCCUGCGCUUAGCGCCUUGCUAGACUUGGGCUUCUUCUGAUUUUCUUUUUUUUUUAUUUCUGCUCCUUUUUGCUUGUUGUACCUCCCUUUUUCACAUCUGCAAUCAAAAUUCGAAAUUAAUUAAAUCUUUCCAAAUUAAAGCAUAAAUAACUGCUAAAUAAUUAAUUCUAAGUUAAUUUUAGACCGAUUUUCCACUAUUAAUUCACUAUUAUUUAGCAGCUAUCAAGCGUGAAUUGAUAAAAUUAAGUAAGUAGAAGUUUAGCGUAAGAGGGAGUGAGAUAUUGAUUUUGUCUUUUCUCCUUUACAUGCUUUUUAGUUUUUUUAUAGUUUAAAAUUAAUAUUAUAUUUGAAAUUGACCAAAGAUUUCUAGUAGACUGUGUGUUGUAUUCUUAGAUAAUAUAUAUAAAUUCAUGUAUACUUAUAUAUACGGGAAAGUGUUCAUAUAAUUAUUUAGAAUUGGUACAUUGAAAGCUUAAUUACUUUGAAAUUCAUGACCCAAUAUGAUGUAUGUUGCUGGUUUUAUAUAUAUAAAUUUAGCUAUAUAUUUAUUUAUAUUAAUAUUUAAUGUAUAUAAUAUUGUAGUGUUGUUAUAGUGUGAUUCCAAAAAUUAUUCAAGUGUUGGAGUUUGAGAAUAUUAUGGUUAGAUUUGAGGUACAUGUGUAUUGAGAUGUGUGUAUUGAGUUGUGAGUUGUGAAUUAUACAAUAACCCAACCAGUGUUGAUAUUGAGAAAAGUGUUGAUGCGCAGUGUUAAAGAGAAAGUGUAAGUUUCCUAUUUAGGAAUCAGUGUUAAAUUGUAGCGCAAUAUGUUAAACGUGUUUGAAACAUGAGUGUGAGGUCGUGUAUAUUGUAUAAUUCAUGAGCAGUAUUUAUAAAUGGAAUGUGUGAUGAAUUGUGGAAUAACAUGUUGCUUUGAGAUUAUAAUAUUGUUAUUGAGAUUGAGUAUAAGUACAAAGUUUAACAUGUGUUAAUUUGUGAGAUACGUGUAAAUAUGUGAUGGUAGAUUGUGACACUAUGAUAUGUGAAAUUGUGAAUGAGUUUUGGCUGUAAAUAAGUGUGUGGUUAACACUUGAUGUGACAUUACUUGUGUUGUAAGUUGUGAAUUGUAUAAUAAUCCGACUAGUAUUAUCUUGAGAAAAGUGUUGAUGAACAAUGUUAAAGAGAAAGUAUAGGUUUCUUAUUUAGGAAUCAGUGUUAAAGAGAAAGUGUAGAUUUUCUAUUUAGGAAUCAGUGUUAAAUUAUAGCGCAAUUGUGUUAAAUGUGUUUAAAACACGAGUGUGAGAUCGUGGGUAUUGUAUAAUUCAUGAGCAGUGUCUGCAUGCAAAAAAUGAUUUUAGGGGUUAGACCUGAAUCAGGAGGGAGAGGCCCUGACGGACUCUUCCAAGUGUAGGUCUUGGGGGUCACCCGGUUUGAGUGCUCCUUUAAGCCUGUGCCGAUCCCGCAUGAUUGGAGCAUUCUCGCAAAAUAGCGUGACCCUGACUGAUCUCCCUAUGAUUUUACUUAGUGAGAGUGACCUGACAUACCCAUUGUGUGGUAUGUCUUGUUAUGUACUCCUAAGCGCCCUAGGGUGGUUUUUCACUGACAUGGUACCACAUUGUAUAUAGGCUUGAGUCUUAGCAUAACUGUUGCAUACGCUUGCUAAUUAUUUAUUAUGAAAUUGAUGUGUUAUCAUGUCUUGAUCGGAGUGUGUGAUUCUUGUGUAAUGUGAUUGAUGAUUGAAAAGUGAUUUUGAAUGACAAAGUGAUUGAAUUACGUGAGUUAUGUUUAAGUAAAUUUUAUUUUAUUUAUAUGAUAUGUAUAUCUAGUUGUCUUGCUUCUCUAUUAGUUAAAAAUGUGAUAACUCACUCUCCGUGUGUUGUUUGAGUUUGGAUCCUGUGAUGAUCUUAAACUUUGUGUUCGAGGGAACAGAUGACUAGAUGAAUUGAUUUAAGGAACCUUGUGCUGAAGAACGUCAGGACACAAUGCUCUGAUAGGAUGUGACAUUGGGGCAUCAUAGUCUAUUUUAUUUUACCUCACUGAUUUAACAAAAUAUUUUUUUUUAUAAAUUUUGAUGGCCUUGUUUUGAGCCAAAUAUAUUUUUAACAAGUUUUAUUUGGUAAUAGUGAAGUGAAUGUGAACUUUUUAUCCACGUGAAUUUGUUUACCAAUAUUUUUAUAUAUUUUAUUUAUUUAUAUAUAUUUCGAGGUAGAGGGUGUCACAUUGGUCAGCAUAACACAUUUUUCUUCUAGAACACAUGAUAUCUAGGCAAUUCUAAAAGUAUGAAACAAUUUUAAAUAGACUUUUGAAGAACCUUAUAGUUAAAUACACUUUGACCAAUUUUGAAGAAUAAAAGUAUGAAACAAUAUAUAAACUUGAGAAUGUCAUUUUGUUAGCCUAUUUUAAUUCCAAAUUAUAAUAUCUAUUCCAAACUAUAUAUAAAAAAACCCUAAAAAGCAAGAAAAGGGAAAAAAUACAAAAUCAGUAUCUCAGUUCCUCUUACAGUAAAUAUUUCCUUAUUUAAUUUCAUCAAUUCACACUAAUUAGAAAAAUACUCAUUUUUUAGGGUUCAUGCUCAACACAAGAACACAACAAUUUCAUAGCAAUUUCACAUCGGAACACCAAUUAGUCUGUCAAACAUAUAUAAUUCACAGUUAUAGUUGUAAACAUAGAAUCAAAAUUUCAUAAACACCCCAAAAUUCAUCUCAAUUGAUCUUCUAAGGAUUCCUACACAUGUUCUCACUACUUUCAAUGGUUAACAAGUCAGGGAUCAUAGUUUUACUAGAAAAGGGAACGAUUUAGAAGGAAGAGAAAGUGUAGAAACAUCUUAAUAUAACUACUGACCUAAUAUGUUUCUAUUUAUAGCUAAGAUGCUCUGAUCAUAUUAUUUACUCUAUUUUUAUUAAUUUUAUUGUUUUAUAAAAAAGAACUAUAUUUUCUUAUUAUGAAAUGAAUAAAUAUAAUUUUUUUUAUUUUCUAAAAACACAUUUAUUUUAUUUAACUUAAAACCAUUAUUUUAAUUAACAAAAUUAUUUCUCCUUAUUUAUUAAAUUAAAAACUUCAUUAUUUUUCUAAAAAUUUAUUUAUUUUUAAAUAAAAGAAUUUUUAAUUUAUUUAAAAAAUGGAAUGUUAAUGUGACUUUUGAGUAGUUAGUACAAGACUCUACCCAACUAAGCUAAUAGACCAAUUAUGUUAUAAAAUAAUUAAUGUUGCUAUAUAUAAUACUAACAUUUCUAAUAUAUAUUUAAUACACAUAUAAAUUUAAAUAAUAAAUUUAGUGACAAUUAAUUUUGAUCUAAUAAUUAAUUUUUUACAUAUAUGAAUUGUAAAUGAAACCUAUGAUUUUUAUAAUAUAUAUAUAUAUAUAUAUAUAUAUAUAUAUAUAUAUAUAUAUAUAUAUAUAUAUAUUAUUAGAUCAAAAUACAUUAGUAGAUUUAUGUUAAUAAUGUAUCUUUUACAUAUAUAAUUUUUUUUAUUAAACCUACGGUUUUUAUUUACAAUUUCUAUAUGUAAACAAAUUAAUUAUUAGAUCAAAAUUAAUUGUUACAAAAUUUAUUAUGUAAAUUUAUAUAUGCAUUAAGUAUACAUGAAAAUUUUUAGUGUUAUCUAUAGCGACAUUAAUUAUUUUAACAUAAUUGACUUAUUAGCUCUGUUGGUUAGAGCGUCGUACUAACAAUGUCUAUAAACCAAUUACGGAAAGGCAAUAUGGGAAUUCCAAUGUUGUGUUGGGUAUACUAGAAAAACAAAUGGUGCACGUAUCAAUUCCCAAACCAAUAAUGUUUUGUGUUGGACUUUUAUGGACUUUCGUAUAUUUUGGGUUUUUAAUUGUAAUCCGAGUGAAUAGGCAAUUUAGUCCCUGAGAUUGUACCCAUUUUGCAUAUUACUCCCUAACUUAAUGUUAAAUUCAAAAUAGUCCUUAUCUUUGCAUAAGUGUUGCAAAAUAGUCCUUCCGUUAAAUUUUAAAGUAACGUCGUUAGUGAGGUCAAUUUUAGUGUCACGUGUACUAUCCAACGUGGCACUAAAAGAUGACGUGGCAUGACACAUGGACGUGCCUCCUAAAAGAUACCACGUCAUUUGAUGAUAACAAAACGAGUAAAUAGGCAAUUUAGUUCCUGACUUUGUACCCCUGUUGCAUAUUAGUCCCUAACUUAAUGAAAAAUUCAAAAUAGUCCCUAUCUUUUGCAUAAGUAUUGCAAAAUAGUCCAUAACUUAAAAGAUGCCAAAAAUCGUGCUUAAAGUGUCCAUGCAUUGCGAAGGUUGUGCCUUGCACGAUUUCUGGCGACGGAGAUUCCUCCUUGAAUUCCUUGUCACCUUUUGAUUCCUUUGGUUUUUUCUCCUCUUCUUUCUUUUCUUCUUCCUCUGCUUUUUUCUCCUCCACUUUGUUUUUCUCUAGUUUUUUCUCUUCCUAUUCAGAACACAAAAAAAAAAAAAUCAAAACUCGGAAUGAUACAUUGAUGGUAAUUGAAGAAAAAAAAAGAGAAAAAGAGAAUGGUUAUGCAGACCUCGUCCAUUGGUGUUGACGGCUACAAAGAUAAGGUUGUUGCUGUGUAUUUUUGGUUCUUUUUAUUUGUGCAAGUGUGUGUGGGUUCUUUCUCGUAUAUAUGCCUCAAUUGGUUCAGAACCAUCAAAUUUGAAGAAGUCACACAUUCUAUCAUCAUCAAAUGACGUGGCACUAAAAUUGACCUCACUAACAGUGUUACUUUAAAAUUUAACGGAAGAACUAUUUUGCAAUACUUAUGCAAAAGAUAGGGACUAAUUUGAAUUUUUCAUUAAGUUAGGGACUAAUAUGCAACAGGGGUACAAAGUCAGAGACUAAAUUGUCUAUUUACUCAUUUUGUUAUAAUUAAAUGACGUGACAUCUUUUAAGAGGCACGUCCACGUGUCAUGCCACGUCAUCCUUUAGUGUCACGUUGGAUAGUCCACGUGGCACUAAAAUUGAUCUCAUUAACGGCGUUACUUUAAAAUUUAACGGAAUGACUAUUUUACAACACUUAUGAAAAGAUAGGGACUAUUUUGAAUUUUACAUUAAGUUAGGGACUAAUAUGCAAAAUGGGUACAAUCUCAGGGACUAAAUUGUCUAUUCACUCAUUGUAAUCCAUAGCCCAAGUAUAUCAACACACUUUCGUAGGAACUAGGGUUAUCAGAAAUUAAAUGUAGAAGCAGUUUUCUUUAAGCUUUCCUUUAUCGUCCCCUUGCAAUUUAUCUUUCUUAGUCUAGUUAGCAGCAGAGUCUAUCAAUCUAAAUGUGGAAUGUUAUUCAGUUAUCUAAGACUAGACCACUCUAGAGGAUAAGACCCCAACAUCGUAGUUCUAAAAAUACAUUAUUAUGGGUUAUAUGUAAAGGUGAUUCUCACAAAAUGUUUCUCAUGCUGGUGUUGGGAGCAUCACACAUUUUUCUUCUAGAACACAUGAUAUCUAGGCAAUUCUAUCAUGAGCAUAAUGCUUUACGUAAAACAUCCAAUCAAAAACUCAAGAUAAAAUUGAAAUAAUUUCAGUUCAAGCUUCCUUAUAAGUAGUUCAUGCAUCUUCCUUUACUUUGCUGACUUGUCGUUAAUUUUAAAUUAAUUGAAGCAAAGGGAACAAUUGAUUUGAAUUAUUAUAUUUUCUGAAACAAAAAAAAACACUAUAUUUGUUUCCUUUAUUUUGAUAGGAAAAAAAUAAGGCGAACAAAUGUUAUCAUUAAUUUGGUUAAGGUAUCCAAAGUUCAGAAACCCAAAAAUCUAAAAUAAAAUGACCUACAAUAUUAAAAAAAAGAUACAAUACAAAAAUAGAAAAGAAAAUUUAAAACUCAAGCUUGUUUAUUAAGUUCAAUCUUUCAGCUAUAUAUAAGUGAGAAUGUAGAGCUAAUCCAUUGAAGAUGAGCUUGACAUUACCAGCUCAUUGGCAACCUGUUCCAUGGUAGGGCGAGAUCGUGGACUUUCAGUCAAGCAGGUCAUUGCUAUCUUUGCAAUUGAUGCCACCUCCUUACCAAUUGGCUCUGUUGGAUGAGGGAGACGUGGGUCCAACUUAUCCAUCAAUGCCAUGUGAUCGAGUGUUGAGGCCACAAGAGUAGAUGGAGAUGAUCCCAAUAAAGAAGAUAUAACAUCACCAGGGUGCUUCCCAAUAAGUAUUUCCCAUGCUAGGACCCCAAAACUAUACACGUCACAUUUCUCAUUCACCUCCAUUGUGUAUGCAAGUUCUGUAACAAAAUAAAAGUGCUAUCAUACGCAAAAUAGGAUUCUAGUGACAAAGGCAAAAUGUGGACAAUUGUGACUAAGAAAGGCAAACUAAAAAAUAUGAUAUUCUCAAUUUAGUAUAAAGAAAGGUAAUUAACCUGGAGCAGCAUAUCCAAAGGUUCCUACGAAUGAGGUCCAAUUGGAUGAAUCUGGAUUAAGAAACUUGGCUGUUCCAAAGUCUGAGACAUGAGCUACAUAUUCGGAAUCCAAAAGAACAUUCUUGCUUGAUAUAUCACGAUGAACAAUUCGAGGUGAGCAUUCAUGGUGCAUAUAGCACAAAGCAUUUGCUACAUCUUUAACAACAUUCACCCUCUUAUACCAAUCAAAUGCCAUUGCUUGUCCAUCAUCCUUCAGAGUCUUCUCAACACUGCCAUUCUCCAGGAAUUCACACACCAAAAAUGAGAAUUGUGAAUGUGAACAAAACCCAUAUAACUUUACAAUGUUACGAUGUCGAAUUUCUGUCAAAGCUUGGAUCUCACAUGUGAAAGCUUUCAGAUUGAGCAUCUCUCCAUUUGGAACUGAAUGGAGUUUCUUCACAGCAACAACUUGACCUGUAGGCAGCACUGCUUUGUAAACACAUCCUUGCCCUCCAACACCAAUGAGAUGUCUGUCGUCAAAAUCUUCUGUGGCUUCAAUAAUAUUCUCGAAUACCAUUUUGCCAUCAAAACUCCAUAUUGCAAAUAUGUUAGGAGUUUGUAUACUUGUAGCCUGGUCUUCUUUGUUCGUUGAGGUUUGGCAUAAAUGAUACGAGACUCCGAAAGCAAAUAAUGCCAGUAUUAGAAUGCCCAAAGUAAGAGGUAAAAUUACUAUCAUUACUUUCUUCCUCAUAUGAUUAUGAGAUUUCCCACUUGAUGUUGAGCAAGGCUCCAAGCCAGUGACAUUUCCACACAAGCCUUUAUUAUUUCUCAAUGCUUCAAUUUUAGCAUUGUGGAAGGCUAGAAUGUUUGGAAGUGGACCCUCAAACUGGUUGUAUGAUAUAUCAAUAGAUGUCAAGGCCGUCAUAUCAUCGAAGCUAGAUCACCUGAAAGAUUAUUGUGUGAGAGAGAUUCAGUAGCUUUUUAAUUCUCCAAACAUUGAACGUAUUGUUCCUCUCAAAGAANNNNNNNNNNNNNNNNNNNNNNNNNNNNNNNNNNNNNNNNNNNNNNNNNNNNNNNNNNNNNNNNNNNNNNNNNNNNNNNNNNNNNNNNNNNNNNNNNNNNUGUAUGAUAUAUCAAUAGAUGUCAAGGCCGUCAUAUCAUCGAAGCUAGAGAGAUCACCUGAAAGAUUAUUGUGAGAGAGAUUCAGUGUUUCUAAGCUUUUUAAUUCUCCAAACAUUGAAGGUAUUGUUCCUCUCAAAGAAUUUCCACCAAGAUCAAGACUCGUAAGAAAUUUCAGUUUGCCAAGCUCUGAAGGAAUAUUUCCCUGAAAAUUAUUUUGGCUCAGACUCAUGUUCAAUAAAUUGAGCAAAUUUCCUAGUUGUUUUGGGAUUAAGCCAGACAAUUUAUUUGAUCCAAGCUUCAAAAUUUGAAGUUUCUGCAUUGAUGCUAUUUCUUUGGGAACAUUUCCUGUAAGAUUAUUGUUGUCGAGUGAGAGAUCAAACAAGGGCAAGUUACAUAAAUCAUGUGGAAUGUUUCCUGAAAGAUGGUUUGAAGACAGGUGAAGUCGUUGUAAUUUGGUUGCCCCAGCUAGUUCUGGUGGUAUCACACCUGAUAAAUUAUUGUUGGAGAUCAUGAGGCUUGUGAGGCUAC
Molecule: long non-coding RNA, 77658 nt
Filed under: Glycine max (soybean)
Lineage: Eukaryota; Viridiplantae; Streptophyta; Magnoliopsida; Fabales; Fabaceae
Description: long non-coding RNA (GMAX_LNC003640)
Rfam family: MIR1520 microRNA precursor family (bases 21658-21761)
Source: RNAcentral